GGGCAGCACCACUUCCUCAUUAUAUCACUUCCACUGCAAGGCCACAUCAACCCAGCCCUCCAAUUCGCCAAGCGCCUGAUCAGAACCGGCGCCCACGUCACCUUCGCCGUCUCCGUCUCCGCUCAUCGCCGCAUGCCCAAAGGUCCAACCCUCCCCGGUUUAACCCUAGUUCCCUUCUCCGAUGGCUAUGAUGAUGGGAUCAAGCUCGAAGAUCAUGCCCAACACUAUUUGUCCGAGAUCAAGCGUUGCGGAUCAGAAACCCUCAGGCGGAUCACUGCAAUAAGCUCUGACCAAGGCCGACCAGUUACUUGCUUAGUGCACACCAUGCUCCUUGCUUGGGCGGCAGAGCUGGCGCGUAGCCUUCAGCUUCCGUCUGCGCUACUUUGGAUUCAGAGCGCCACUGUUUUCAUCAUAUUCCAUCAUUACUUCGAUGGCUAUGGUGAUGUGGUUGGAAACUGCAGCAAUGAGGGUUCAGAUCCAAUUGAGUUACCGGGGCUUCCAAUGCUACUGUCUAGCCGUGAUAUUCCGUCCUUUUUUCUCUCUUCAAACAUAUAUGCUUCAUGGAUCCCAGCAUUUCAAGAGGACAUGGAGGCACUAAGGCAAGAGACGAACCCCAAAGUGCUGGUGAACACCUUCGACGCACUGGAGGCCGAGGCGCUACGAGCUGUGGAUAAGGUUAAAUUGAUUGGAAUUGGACCUUUGGUCCCAUCUGCUUUCUUGGAUGCAAACGAUCCAUCUGAUUCUUCUUUUGGAGGAGAUAUUUUCCAAGAUCCGAGCAACUGCAUCGAUUGGUUGAACUCCAAGCCCAAGUCAUCAGUCGUUUAUGUAUCGUUUGGGACACUUUGUGUUUUGUCAAAGCAACAAAUGGAGGAGAUUGCACAUGCUUUACUACACAGCGGCAGGCCUUUCUUGUGGGUAAUAAGAUCAGCGUCCGAAAACGGAGAAGUAGAAGAAGAGAAGCUGAGUUGCAGAAAAGAGUUGGAAGAGAAAGGGAUGAUAGUGGUUUGGUGUCCUCAGUUGGAUGUUUUGUCACAUCCAUCAUUGGGAUGUUUCAUUACACAUUGUGGGUGGAACUCAACGUUAGAGUGCCUAGCUUCUGGAGUUCCAGUUGUGGCAUUUCCCCAAUGGACGGAUCAAGGGACCAACGGGAAGCUGAUUGAAGAUGUGUGGAAGACAGGCGUUCGGGUGACAGCGAAUGAGGAGGGAAUAGUUGAAGGCGAGGAGAUCAAGCGGUGCUUGGAAGUCGUCAUGGGAGGUGGAGAAAGAGGCGAAGAAUUGAGAAGGAAUGCUGGGAAAUGGAAGGAUUUGGCAAGGGAAGCUGUGAAAGAUGGCGGAUCUUCCGACUGCAAUUUAAAGGCUUUUUUGGAUGAAUUGGGACAAGGCAGUAUGAUUUAGUGAAAGUUAAAUUGUGUUGAUAUAAAGUUGUGUUACUGAUUGAACUCGUUUCUGGUGUUUUAUGGCUUUCCCAAAGGCUUAGAGUGCUUGUUGUUAGUGUAACUGCAUCCGGAGAAAAGAGAAAUUUCAAAUUUGUAUUCUCCAGCCUAUGAACUAAAAGAUAUCCCCCUAAGUCAUUUGCUUGGCUUGAUCAAUUGAUUUUGAAAUAAAAUUCAUAUUUACUUUGAAGCUUUUGGAAUAAAAACAUCUUGCUUUCACGAAAAACUGUUCUCUCUCCUCAUGUACUCUGUACUCAAACCUGAUAUCUGUCUCUCUCAUCUCUCUCUACCGUGGUUGUCAGUUGUCACUAAUGUCGGUACUAAACCUGAUCUCUCUCUAGAUCUCUAUCAUCUCUCCCUACCUUGUUUGCCAGCUAUAUCAGUUGAUUAUGAGAUUGAGAUCCACAUGAAAUGAACUGUGUUUGUCAGCUAUGCCACACAGAGUUUUUCAUAGAAACCCAGAGAAUUCUAGGGGAGACUCCAUCAAGCGUGACAAGAAAAGCAUUUGUCGUUCUGUCCUAUCCUGGGAAAAGACAUGUGCGACCCACGCUUUUCCAUUUUACAUGGUGGAUUCGUGAAUUUUUAUUUUUAUUUUUAUUUUUUAUUUUACACCCAUUUUUGGGAUUUUUUUUUUCCAUUUGAAAUCUCCAUGUUCAUACCAAUUGAUUUUUUAACCAAAAAAAAAAAAAAAACAACUAUUGAUGAUUUAGAAUUUGUUUGAUAUAGGAUUUUUAUUUUUUAUUUUUCUACUACUUCAAAAUUUUUAUAUAAAAAAAUUAUUUUCAAAUACUAGAUUAUAUAGAAAUAUUUAUUAAAAUCAUUGUCUAACAAAUACUUAAUCUCUAUACAAUAAUUGGAUUACAGAUAUAAUAAUUUUAUUAUUAUUAUAAUUAAAAUUAAUACAAAGAAGUUAAAAUUAUAUCUAAAUAAUUUAAAAUUUUAAAAUAUUUUAUUCUUUUUAUCUUUAGUAUUAUCAUAUUAAAUAUAAAACAUAAAUGUAGUAAUAUUUCAUUAUUUUAUUUUUGAUAUAUUAAAUAUUAAAUACAAAUGUGUUAAUAUUUUUUUUUAUUUUGUGAAAUAGGAGAAUUAUUAAAAAGAAAUAUUAUGUAUUAUUGAAUGGUAAAAUAAAAUUUUAUUAUUUAUUUCAUUCACACUUCAUUAGUAUUUCGUUAAAGAAUCAUUUUUCAGAGGCAUGCAAGUCGGUUAUGGAUAGUUGUUUAUGGCCCCAAUGUGGCUUUACAACACAUAUCAUUUAUUGACUAAUUAUCUACAUACCUAAUUCCAGAGAUUUAAUUAUUUUAUUAAAAAUUUGGUAGAAAAUUCUACAAAGCAGUUGGAUCUUUAUCAUGUAUUAAACACUAAAAAAAUAAGAAGAAUAUAAAAAAAUAAAAAAUUUCAUAUUCUUUUGUUUGAAAAGGAGCACUCACGAUCAAGUCAUAAAUGAGGAUAAGUCAAUCAUUGAGAGAGUAUUUUAUAAAACUUAAUACUUAUUACUUGAUAAUUUAAGUUGACUUUAAGUUCAAUUAUAUUAAAGUUGUUGACUUAAAACUUAUUACUUUAAGUAUUAAAGUUGUUUAAUAAAAUUAACUUAAAACUAACUAUGAAUAAUAAAAUUAACAUAUUUAUCUUCAUAAAUUAUAAUUAUGGUAAAGAAGAUUAAGUAAUAAUGGAGGUUGUAUAUUAGAAAAAGAGAUCGAUGAGGUAAUUAUGACAAAUGAAGGUAAAAAGGUAAAACGAAAAUUUAAACUUAAGAAUAAGUUAAUUAUGUUUUCUUAAUAUUUAAAAUUAUUUUUAACUUUAAGUCGAUCAUACAUUUUUUUAUCCAACAUAUUUAAUUUAUUUAAUGACUUAAAUUAAGUUAUUAAGUUACUUAAGUUAGUUGGUUUAUCAAACAUCUACUUCGUUUGAAAGUUAUAAUGGAUAAGGUAUUGAUUGAAAUACCUUAAUUGCAAUAAAAUGGUUGAAUGAGUAAUUUUUAAAGAUUUUAAUAUAAGAGUUGAAAUUCUUAACCAAUCACAAGGAGAAUAAAUGAUUUUACUUAGAAAAGCCCAACAUAAAGUGUGGAAGUAAAAAUGAGAUCUUAGAUCGAUGAUCCAUAAUAUAAAAUUUUAAUAUACAAUUUUACUUGACAACCGCUACCUAAAACUUACUCUUUAGCACCUAUAUCAUGAUUCAUAUUCGUGAUGCAAUACCUCGAAUGCUAUAAUUUACCCCAAUGAAUAUGAGAUAAUAUAAUAACAUUUAAAUUUAUUUUUAACAGCCAUGAUUAGCAAAGAAGCAAGAAAUUAAACUAAGGGAAUUGAAUCAUGCUAACAUUAUUUUUCGCUAACUAAAUGAUGUCAUAAAAUAUAUUAUAUUAAAUUAAUAUAAUAAUUUUGAAUAAUGAAACUCAAAGUGUUGAAUUAGAGUUACAAAUAAUAAAUUUGCAAAUUUAAGCUUAUUGUUUAUUAUUACUGUUGUUGUUAGUGUCCCCUCCAAUCAUUAUAUAUAUCACCCAUGCAACUCACCGGCCACACAAACACAUCCUCAGCCACAGCAAUGGAGCAGCACCACUUCCUCAUUAUAUCACAUCCAAUGCAAGGCCACAUCAACCCAGCCCUCUUUAAUGAAUUGGGAGGAGGCAGUACUCUUUAAUGAAAGUUAACUUGUGUUGAUAUGAAGUUGUACGACUUACUUUAUGCUGUUUUAUGGCUUUCCUAAAUGCUUAGAGUGCUUGCUUUGGUCCCAAUCAGCAUGGGGCGAUCACAUUCAAAUAAAAGACAUUUGUACUCUGAACCAUGUCCUAGGUGCGAGUGUAACUGCUUCUGGAAAAAAGAGAAAUUUCAAAUUUGUGAUCUCCAGCCCAUGAACUAAAUGAUCUCUCUCGAAGCCAUUUGCUUGGCUUAAUCAAUUGAUUUUGAAAUAAAAUCCAUAUUUAUUUUUCUAUACUGUGGAUGAUUUAGAAUCGUUUGAUAUAAGAUGGUUUUUUUUUUUUUUGAAAAAUAAAAAUUUCUAAUGUUUGAAAUUUUUUAUUAAAAAAGUUGUUUUCAAAUAUUAGAAAAAAAUAAAAAUAUUUUUUAAAAUUACUUACAAACAAAUACUUAAAAUGCGUCUAUUCAAAGUGUUUUUAGUGGAAAUAUUUUUCUAAAACGUGUUUCAAAUUAAGAGAGUCACCUAUAAAGUGUUUUCUUAGAAAAUAUUAUAAGUAAUUUUUUAAUACUACAAAUGAUUUUUUUAAAUUUUAAAAAUAUUUUUCAAAUUUUAUGAAAUGCCUAAUAUUUUUCAAAAACACUUUUUAAAAUAAAAAUGUUUUAUAAAAUCAUUGUCAAAUAUACUCUUAGAGUACAUAUAAUAAUGAUCCUAGAAAACAUUUCUGUUUUCUCCAAUAUAUGAUCAAAAAAAUAAAAAAUUUCAAGUAUUAAAUUAGAAACACUUGUUAGAAUUACUAUUAUAAAGAAUCUUAAUAUCUUACCCGUAGUUAAAUUGAAAUCCAACCAUUAAUAUUAUAUUAUAAAUAUAUAAUUUAUGAACUAUUAUAAUUAAAAAUACUGGGAAGAAGUUAAAAUUAUGACUAAAUAAUUUAAAAUUUUAAAAUAUUUUCUCUUUUUAUAUUUAAUAUUAUUAUAUUAAAUAUAAAACACAAAUGCAUUAAUAUUUCAGUAUUUUAUUUUCACUAUUAUUAUACUUUUUAUAAAAUAUGAAUGUGUUAAUAUUUUUAUUUCAUUAAAUAGGAGAAUUAUUAUAUUUAAUUAUUUAGAAGAAAUAUCAUAUAUUAUUAAAGAGUGAAAUAAAAUUUUAUAAUUUAUUUUAUUCACACUUCAUUAGCAUUUUAUUAUUAUUCAUUUGAAUUUCAUUUGUAUUAUAAUUUUAUCGUAGAGGUAGGCUAUGGAUAAUUUUUUAUGACUCCAAUGUGACUUUAAACUAUACAUAUCAUUCAUUGACUAAUCUUCUGCAUACCUAAUUAAUUUGAGAGAUUUAAUAAUUUUAUUAAAAAAUUUGGUAGAAAAUUCUAUGAAGAAAUUGGAUCUCUAUCAUGUAUUAAACACUAAAAAGUAGAAGAACAUAAAUAAUAAAAUUUUUAAUAAUUCUUUUGUUUAAAAAGGAGUACUCACAAUCAAGUCACAAAGAAGGAUAAGUGGAGCAUUUGGUUUGUAAGUUAGAAUGGGAGAAGUAUUAGUAAUGUCAAACAGUAAUGUGAGUGAGAGGAAGAUGCAUGCGACCUUUAAUUUAUUUAAAUAAGAAAUUAAUCUGAAAAUUAAGAUACUUUUGUUUUAAUUAUUAUUAUUAUUAUUCUUGUUUACCACUUCUUGCCGCUGAAGGAGAGGGAGGGUGGGUUGGAAACCCUGGCAUUAAGAUGGCCAUUUGUGUUUUGACAACAUAUUGACAUAUAUAUUAUCUAUAUUUAGGCCCUAUUUGGUAAUUAUUCUUUAAAAUAGUUCUAAAAAAAUAAUUUUUAAGAAUAGUUUUUAUAAACUGUUAUAUGAUGUUUUAUAAAAUAAAAGUCUAUUUGGGAAUAUAAAAUAUUUCUAAUUUAUUUUUAAUAUUUUUAAAUAUGUUUUAAAAAUAAUUUUUAUGUCUAGAACUUUAUUUUUAAUUAUUAUACGUGUUUGUAUAAUUAUUUUUUUUAAAUAACUAAAAAAAAAGUGAAAAUUAAAAACAAUUAAAAGAUGUUAUCUGAAAGUACCCUAUUUUCUGUUCUUGACAACAAAAAAUACAAAACAGUUUUCGGCUCACCAAAGCCACCUAUUUACUCAAUUCUUAUCUCUUGUACUCAACAAAUGUAACCUUCAUUUGUUGAGAAAACAGAAAAGGUCUUCUUCUGUUUGUUCUGCUUGUUGCAUGAGAAAAUUCAUAAGUUUCCACUUUUUCCUUCAACCUCUUCAUAUACAACACCGUUAGAACAAAUCAAUUCUGAUUUAUGAGGCCCAGCUUAGUACCCUCUUUGAAUGGAUAUCAGUAUCAUAUUCACUUUGUUGAUGCCUACUUUUAGCUUACAUAAACUUACAUGCUGAAACAAAAGUCUAAAGCAUUUCAAUCCUUUCUUACCUUCAAGUCUCAAGUUGAACUUCAACUAGGAUACAAAAUUAAAGCUAUAUUACAAACUGAUUGGGGUGGAGAGUGUUGCACCUCCACCUAUUAUCUUCUCUCAAAUGGCAUUAUCCACAAAACCUCAUGUCCCUGCACUCAUCAACAAAAUAGGCGUAAACAUAUCAUUGAACAAAGACUUACCCUCCUAGCAUAAGACUCUUUUACCUCUCAAAUGGAUGAGGCCUUUCGCACGUGUGUUUUUGUUACCAAUAGAUUACCCACCCUGAUUUGGAAAAACAUAACCCCACUUGAACUACUUUUCUGCACAAAACCAGCUAACUCCCAGAUAAAGGUAUUUAGUUAUACUUGUCAUCCUAAUCUAUUGUUAUAAUUUUUUACAUAAAUGAUUUAAACACUUAUGCAGAAUAUAUAUUUUGGGUUGCUGGAACACACGUUUUAUUGAUGAAGAAUGUUGAAUUUAUACAUGAGUUUGUAACUGAAAUGAAAUUAGAAUAACAAAAAAUCAUGCUACUAGAUAAUGAGCAACUACUUUCUAUAAAAUAGAAACCAAAUAACCAAAUCUUGACCAAAUAAAAAAUAAGAAAACAUUUGGAUGUUGCAGAUUUUGUUAAGGACUACAGUUGCAAUAUUUAACUUCAAAAUUCAAAUUCCAAUAGAUACUAAGUCAAAAUUCAAAUUCCAGUAGAUACUAAGUCAAAAUUCAAUGGUUAUCCUAAUCUACAAUUUCACAACAAAAACAAGCUUUAAUGCCACUCCAUUCCCUGCACAUUUCUUGGCUACAAAUGUCUAAGCCCUGAUGGUUGUAUCUUUAUCUCUCGGGAUGUUAUUUUUUAUAAAUUCACCUUCCCUUUUGCACAAUAAGCAUCUCCAUCUUCCCCCAUUUCACGAUCUCCCUCCCCACUUCCUUCAUUCUCGUUAAUGGUUUUCCCCACUUCUACUUCUUACCUGGCUCCUUCACAAGUACCCCCUUCCUCAUUUGUCAGUCCAAUUUCCAAAUCACCCUACCUCACUCACGCCUCUCCGCCUGACCUCUCAUUGUAUGUUCAACUCCCACUUCCACCCCCUACUUAGCCUCUUUCUACUACCCAUCAUCACAUGACCACACACUCCAAGUUUGAUAUCUUUAAACCCAAGGACUUUACUAUCUCAACCAUACCAACUUCGGUCAUUGAAGCACUCCAACUUAGUCAUUGGAAACAGGCCAUGAGUGAAUAUCAGAGUGUUGUUACAUUGUUGGUCGAAAUUUCAUGGCUCUAAUCUCUUCUUCGAGAACUCCAUAUUACUUCCUCUACCACUCUUAUAAUCUGGUGCGGCAACCUAAAAAUAGUUCACCUUUGAGUAAAUCCAUAUCUAUCAUGUUCCCUCAUGCGCUCAACUUGUAGACCUCUUCACCUAAGCUAUUCCCUAGCUCUCAGUUCCUUAGCAUGCGAGACAAACUCAGUGUCCCUACUCAGUUUGAGGGGUCCGUUAGAGAAGAUUCGUUCAGCUACAACUGUUACAGUUGUUGAUUACUUGAGCUUAGUUAGUUCUCUUUUUGUUAUUAAAAACUCUUCAAGUAAUUAAUUACAGGUGACUUACUAUUGAAAGAACUAUAUUUUCUAUAGAAUAAUAAUAAGAUGAAAAACAUAGAAGAUAUUGGUAAUCUUCCUUCUUUCUUUUCUGCUUUUUCUCUUUCUUUCAAAUACUAUCUAUUUAUUUUGAUACCACAUUUUGAUGUCAAAUUGCAAACCAACAUGGGGAUACAAACGAUAGUGGCUUGAGGUCUACCGAUUGCUCACCACAUUUGGUAAGAGUAGUUGAUUUCAAAUCAAACAGUCAGAUCCCAUUAUGGAAGAAUAAUCUGACUCGGCGGUGAAUUUCAUUAUUUAAUAAAUAUUCAAAUCUUAUUUAAAGACAUCUAAAAAUUUUAAAAAACUCUCUCCACUUAGGAAAAAAACAAUAAAUAAAUAAAUAAACAUAAACUUGAACACACUGAUUUUCAGGUAAUAUAACUGCACUGACUAGGAGCUUUUUGUAUCCCAGAAAAUAUACUUUUCAUGAACGAAUCUAGAUGCACUGACUAGUUACAAUUUUUGUCCAACUUCAUCCACAAAAGCCUUGAGAUUAUUGUCCGACAUUCCACCAUUCUUCAUAGCUUCCCUCGCCAACUCCUUCCAUUUCUCAGCAUUCCUUCUCAAUCCUUCUGCUCUUUCUCCAUCUCCCAUAACAAUUUCCAAGCACAUCUUUAUCUCAUCACGUUCAACCAUUCCUUCUUCAUUCACCCACACCCGAAUGCCAGUUUUCCACAUGUCCGUGAUCAGCUUUGCGUUGGUGGCUUGAUCCGUCCCUUGGGGAAAUGCCACAACCGGAACCCCACAAACCAUGCUCUCCAAGGUUGAAUUCCACCCACAGUGCGUCACAAAACAUCCCAAUGAUGGAUGGGUCAAAACCUCCAAUUGGGAACACCAAGGUACUAUCAUCCCUCUCUGUUCCAAUUCUUCUCUGCAACCCAGCAUUUCUUCAUCUUUCAUUUCUCCCUUAUCGGGUUCUCUUAUGACCCACAAAAAAGGUCGGUCACUAUUUAGCAGACCACAGGCAAUCUCCUCCAUUUGCGGCUUUGACAAAAUAGCUAAGCUCCCAAAGGAUAUGUAAAUGACUGAUGAUUUGGGCUUGGAGUUCAACCAUUCUAUGUAGUCAGUGGAACCUUGAAAUUGGUCACCUCCGAAAGAAAUAUCAGUUGGAUCUUUUGCAUCCAAGAAAGCAGAUGGGAUCAAGGGGCCAAUUCCAAUCAAUUUAAGCUUGUCCAAGGCCCGCAAAGCCUUGGGCUCUAAUGCAUCAAAGGUGUUUAGCAGUACUUUAGGGUUUUCAUCUUGGCUAAGUGCUUCGAAAUUCUUUUGAAACGAUUCGAGAACAAAAGUCAAUUUAUUUGAAGACAGUAGAAAAGAGGGAAGGUCUCGGCUAGUGAACAGUGGCUCCAGUCCUGGAAGCUCAAUGGACGAUGAGGGAUCAAUGCUUUUAUUUCUAACUUCAUCUCCAUAACCAUUGAAGUAAUAGUAGUAGAUGUCAAACACUGUGGUCGCUUGAUUCCAGAAAUAAGCAGAUAAGACCUGAACCCUACGUGCCACCUCUUGCGCCCAAUCAAAGAUCAUGGUGUACACUAUGCAAGCAACGGGCCGACCUUGGUCAGCACAUUCCAGCACGAGCUCAGUGAGCUUUAGCGUUCCUUGGCGCUUAAUCUCUGACAGAACGUGAUGUAAAUUGUCUUUGUUUUCACACCCAUCGUCGUAGCCAUCAGAGAAGGGGGCGAAGGAUAAUCCACAAACAGACAGCGGUUUGACCAUGCGGCGUUGGGCAUAGACGGUAGUGACAAAGGUGACCUGAGCACCGGUUUGUAUUAGCCGCUUGGCCAACCGGAGAGUUGGAUUGAUGUGGCCUUGCGCUGGAUAGCUGACAAGGAGGAAGUGAGGAGGAGCCAUGGCCGGGGCUAGUUUACAGGGAAGGGGUGAAAUGUGGAGAAUUGCUCAUGACUGGUAUUGUAAAGGGGUGUGAAACCUUAAAUAAAGGGCUGCAGUUUGCAGAAUGAAUAAUAUUGUAUUAAAUUACAUUUGAUAUUGAAAGGAAAAAAUGUGUUUUCAGAUUUUAUGGAUGGAAACAGUAUCUGACCGGAUUCUACUGAUUCAACCAUGAAUUUAUUUCCUUUUCCUUAGUUCAUCAAUUUCAAUUCGAAUAAUAAUUAUUAUUAUAUUUAUUUUUCAAGUCUUUAUUGUGAAUCAAAGGAGAGAGGUGUAUUUUUAUAUUUUACCGAAAGUAAAUUUCAGAAGAUGGAUGAAAAGCAUACAUAAAUAAAAUAAAUAAAUAAAUUGAAAAGGUAAAAUAGUUUAAAAUUUUAAAUUUUAAUUAUAAAAUGACUAAUUCUAAAAAAAUUAAUUAAAAAACUUAAGUAAAAAUUAAAACAUAUAAAAUUUAAAUUAACUCCUAAGUUACAUCACAAGGGAGCAAAAUAAAGAAUAAAAUCGGUUAUCAUUGAUAUUUCAGGGAUCCUCAAGCCUCAUCUUCUUCUUUUGUAGAUUGGACAAUUUAGUAGCUAGAAAUGUUACCUAUUAUAAAUUCUCAAUAAGUUACUGCAUUGCCAACAUCUUUAUAAUCAUAAUCUCACAAUUCAACCUUCUUUAGAAGUUAUUACAAUUUUAAGUCCUUGCACUUGGGGGCUUGACACUAUUGAGGCAAUAUAUCAUCCCCACCAUAGUGAGCAAUCAAUCGAUCUCAACUUUAAUCAAUGACAAAGAGAACCACCCCUUAUUAGGUUCAUCUUCUUUUUCCUCUUCUUCUACUUCUACAAGUUUUGGCUCCUCAUUCUCAACCUUGUUAUUGGUGUAUUUGGACUUGUGGCACACAUUUUCUAUUAACAACCUUUCAAACAACUAGAAAGGAGGAUACAAAGUCAUUAUAACAUUAUGUUUGUUGAACUUGAUGCUAUCUUAGAUGAUAACAUUUAUUAGCAAGGCCUUUGUGUUUUUGAGAAAAAUGAGUUUUCUAUUUCAUAUAACAAGAUGAAAGUGAUUAACACUACAAAAAACAUUAUUUUCACACUUAAAAACAUAGAUUUUAUUAUCACUUUUGAGUAUUAAUCAUAUCUUUUUUUACUUGAAUUCUUGUAAGUCGUAUUUUAGAGCUAACAUGGGUAUGCAACAAAAUAGAAUGAAAUGAGGCAUUUUAGGUGAAUUUCAAGUAAAGGUUAUUACAUGAGGUUGAUGGAGGCAAAGAAAAUCGCCAAAGAACUUCCUUAAAGUUCAAACAACUAGUGGAAGCAAGGGACCAAAUUAUGAACUUUUAUCGUGAGGAGGAAAGAAAAUGAACAAUUAAGUGAAGUGUAGAACAAUCACAUGUUCAAAGAAGGGCAAUAAAUCAUCCUGAUGUAAAUGUGUAAAAGAAAGAAGGAAAGCAAGGCCAAUAUGUAAGGACAAUCAUGAUCGCAAUUGCUGGUGCUACAAUAUGUCCUCUAAUCAUCUUGCUUUGUUGUGAAGAAAAUGGUCAAUCCACCCAUGGCUUUGUUAAGAAGUUAAAAUGAGAGAUCUAGAGUAUUCACUUGCCAAGUUCAAAAGAUUUUCCACAAUAAUAACCACCACUCAACAAUAAUAGCAACCUAACAAGAAUCAAGAAUGAUAAUCCAAGAACAUUUAAUAAAAAAAAGGGACAUCAAAUAUAACAUGGAAAAACCCUCCAAAUGGUGAUACAAUAGUUAAGUCCUCAUAGGUUUCUUCACUUUGAAAACUUAUACAAAUAUAUCUCAAUAUUUGAGGUGGGAAUCCAUCACCUUAGAAAACAAUGAACAAAAAGAGAUUAGGAAGAAAUUAUUCGUACCACAGGGAUUUCCCCAAAAGGUUGAUGAAAGAACUUGUAACUUCACCCUUGAGCCUUAGAAAAGUGCCCAAAAAACAAUCCUAUAUAUAUAUAUAUAUAUAUAUAUAUAUAUAUACAUUCCUUUUCUCAAUCACCCCUUCUCUCAUAAUACCAAAACUUUAAUGUUAUUUAUAUUUGCGCUUAAGGAAUACCCAAAUAUAAAAUAGUCUAAUAUAUGGGCUCAUGGGCUGGACAAACUUAGCCCAACAAUCUCCCCCUCCAACAUAUGAAGGAGGAAUGCGAAUCCAUAACCCCAUCACAUGGAGUUCAAACCUAUUAUGUCAAUGCAGAACUAAAGCUUUUGCUUUGGGACAACCUUUGUCAACAUAUUUGAGACAUUUUUGUUGGUGUGAAUCUUUAUCAACUUGACUUAUUUUCUUCAACUAUAUCCCUCAACCACUUGAAUACCUAUUUGUUUUUCAAUGAUUUUCUUCCUUUAGGAAGUUGUACCAACUCAUAUAAUUUUUAUGCAAGAAAUCCAUCUCAUCUUGCAUGGCUCUCAAACAAUUGCAACUAUUCUCAUAAGACUUAGCUUUCUGGAAACUCUAUUGCUCCUUCUCAUCAAUUAUUAACAUGUACUCAGAUGAAGAAUAUCUAGUAGAAGGACGAUGCUCUCUAGUAGACCUCUUAGCUUGGGGUACCAAAGCCUCCUGAUGAAGUGAUUGUUUCCCCUACUCCUCAUGCUCAACUGGCUCUUGUGUAGCUAUGUCAUUUGCACUAUCAUCUCUUGGUAGCUCAUCAAUUUCCUCCUCUUCAUUUUUGGGCUGCUCUAAUGAUGAAGGAAUAAGUACCAACUCAAUAAAGUCAUCACUUAUAGCUUUGGAUUGAUUAGUGUGGACCCUGUAUUUUGGCUCAUGCGUUUUCCACUCGAUAGAGAGCUCGAUUUUUAUUUGAAAAUGAUUUUAUUUAUUAAAAAAAAUUACUUGGAGUUGCCACUUAUUUUUGUUUUAGUUUUACAAGGGUAAACAAAAUAAGAAAGAAAACCCUAAGUGUGACUCCUUAUUUUGGAAAAUGUGGUCUAUGAAAAACCGGAUCAUGCUCGGGGGUCAGAUUACUUAUCGGGAAGGUACGAUAAAGACUGUAGCACCCCUCUAAGUCCCUAAAGUCGGGUCUCUACUAAUAAAAUGAAGCUGACGUGGCAAUCAAUAGGAAAAUCAAUGGAUACUCAAAUCGGUCAUACACAUAUGGGAAUCAAAACAUGCAUAGAGAAUGACUAGAAUGAGAGUGGAUGGGUACUUGGGCCACGAACGAGCAAUGCGCUAUCAUAAAAAUGGAGUCAGUGUACAAUAAAGAGCACAAAACAUAUCACAUGCAUCACCAAACAUAAAUUAAAACUGCUCGAGGGAAAAUUGGAUUUUUGAAAUUUAUUUGAAAAUUGGAGUCUUAGAGAUUAUUUGAAAAUUGGAGUUUUGGAGAUUAUUUGAAAAUUGGAUUUUUAGAAAUUAAAUGUAAGAAUGAGAAUUUUAGAAAUUAAAUUUGAAAGAAAUUGGAAUUUUGAAAAUUAUUUGAGAGUUUGGGAUUUUUUAAAAAUUAAAUUACGAAAUUAGGGCUUUUGGAAAUUAAAUUUUGAAAGAAAUCAGAAUUGAAAAUUAUUUUAGAAGUAGAAACUAUGAAAAUUGAAUUAUAAAAAUUGGAAAUCUUGGAAAUCAUUCGAAGGCAGAAUUUUUAGAAGUAAAUGAAUAAAAUGAUAAUAAUAAUGAUAAUAAUAAGUAAAUAAAUGCGAGAAUUAUAAUAUUGGAAAUUGAAAAUUAAGUUCGAAAAUUGGAAAAUUGGAAUUUCAUAAAACUAAAUUUGGAAAUCGAAAUUUUGAAGAAUUAUUUAAGGACAGAAUUUUAAAUAAAUGAAUAAGUGAAUAAAUAAAUGAAUGGAAUAAUAAUAAUGACGAAAUAAUAAUGAUUGGACGAAUAAUUACAGAAGUUAGGAUUUUGGAAAUUGGAAAUUGAACUUAGGGAUUGGAAAUUUAAAGAAUCAUUUAAGGAUGAAAUUUUAAAUAUAUGAAUAAGUGAAUAAAUAAAUGAAUGGGAUAAUAAUAACGAAAAUAAUCAUUAAACAACAUAAUGUGAAUAGUGGAAUUUUUUAUAUUGGAAAUUAAAUUUGGAAAACGGAAUUUUGAAAAAUUGAACUUUAAUGAUUGGAAUUUUUAAAAGAAAGAAAUAAAUAAAUAAAUAGAAUAAUAAUAAUAACAACGAAAGCAAUAUUUAAAUGAAUGAACGUGAAUAGUCGAAUUUUUGAAAUUUGAAAAAUUGUUUAAAGAGGGAAUUUUUAGAAUAAAUAAACAAAUAAAUAAAUGGAAUAAUAGUAAUAACGAGAAUAAUAAUGAUUAGAUAAAUAAUUUUAAAAAUUGGAAAGUUAAUUUAGAAAUUGGAAAAUUGAAGAAUUAUUUAGAGAUGGAAUGUCGGAAAAUUAAAUUUUGAAAGCUGGAAGCCCGAAAAAUUAUUUUAAGGCUGGAAUGUCGGAAAAUUAAAUUUUGAAAACCGAAAACCCAAAAAAAAUUAUUUAAGGAUGGAAUGUCGGAAAAUUAAAUUUCGAAAACUAGAAAUCCGAAAAAUUAUUUUAAGGAUGGAAUGUUGGAAAAUUAAAUUCCGAAAACUGGAAACCCGAAAAAUUAUUUUGAGGAUGGAAUGUCGGAAAAUUAAAUCUUGAAACUUUUGUUUUGAUAUCAAAAUGUGAAGAAAUAAUAAAAACAAAUAUGAAUUGUGGUGAUCUUCACGUGCACGUCUCCAGUAUAAUGGCCAUGAACCCAUUUUACAUAUUCUUUUCCACCACCUGAGCAAACAACUUUUGCAUGAAGAUUGAUGAGUGGGUGUGGAGGUUGGUAUGGCCAUGCAUGCGUGAGGAUUGUUGGACGGAUAUGAAGGUUGGUGUGGUCAUGCAUGCGUGAGGAUUUUAAGGAUGGAAUUAAAUUUUGAAAACUAAAAACCCAAAAAAUUAAUUUUAAGCAUGGAAUGUCGGAAAAUUAAAUUUCGAAAGCUGAAAACCCGAAAAAUUAUUUUAAGGAUAGAAUGUCAGAAAUAUAAAUCUCGAAAACUGGAAACCCGAAAAAUUAAUUUAAGGAUGGAAUGUCGGAAAAUUAAAUUUCGAAAACUGGAAACCUGAAAAAUUAUUUUGAGAAUGGAAUGUUGGAAAAUUGAAUCUUGAAAAUUUUGUUUUGAUAUCAAAAUGUGAUGAAAUAAUAAAAAGAAAUAUGGAUUGUGGUGAUCUUCAAGUGCACGUCUCUAGUGUAAUGGCCAUAAACCCAUUUUAUAUAUUCUUUUCCACCACCUGAGCAAACAGCUUUUGCAUGAAGAUUGAUGAGUGGGUAUUGAAAACUGAUGACAUGGACAAGGUAAUGGAGUCAGCCACUAGCAGGAAAUAAAUAAAAAAUAAAAAUCCUACAAACCCAUUUAAUUCGACAUCAAACCAGAAAGCAAAACCAUGCAGUGGAGCUCACAUCAACUGGAUCACUCUUUCUUAUCAAACUUCUUUCGAAUAUAUCUAGGAAUCCUCUUUGGAAUUCCCAUUACCUCAAAAGGAAACAGAAUUCUAGAUGAGUUGUGACCCUAGCAGUAACCAUAUCUGGCUAAAAAAAAAUCUCAGAAACCGUCCUUGGUCUUGGUCCAGAUGAUAUCUUCAAUUCCAAGAAACAAAACUCCCUCGGUUGGUCUGGAUUCCCUUAUAGGAACUUGGGAAGCAUUCCGACAACAUGGAGAUGACAGUUGUUCAGUUAUACCAUUAUUUGUCACCUUGCUUUUUUUAUUUUCAGCAAGCUUAACGUCUUUUCUAGUUCACUAACAUGUCUAGGAUGAUAUACUGGUAUUAGACAAUUCGAUAUAUCUGAAAUGACCUUCACAUUGUCCAGGUUCGAUGCAAUACUAAUUUCCUGUCUCAUAGCCAACCCAAGCAUGAUACCCAACAUUCCAAAAGUGCACGAAACGAGGAAGUGAAGAAAAACAGAGCAUAUACAAACGAAAAAGAUACUACUGAACUCGGCUCCAUUUCAUAAUGAUCAAUGGGCUGGAUACAGGUGGCAUAGGAAGGAAGCAAAAAAAAAAUAAAAUGAUUUUGAUACAUCAAGUUCAGAGGAAGAAACAAAGCAUCAAGCAUUGACAAGAAAGAUAGAAAAAAAAAACACCAGAAACAAAACUAAAACAGAGUAUGCAUACAAAGGAUAGAUCCCUCAAAGCAAACGAGUGGUCUAGUAGUCAUACCUGGAUGUUUUCCUCAAGCCAAAAGUUUCCUGGCCACCCGCUCUGCUCUCUUCCCUUCCUUUUUCUGCUCAGCCAAAGAACCCCUCUUUCAGAAAGAAUCCCCUCACCUCCAAAUCUCCCCUGUUUCCCGUCUUCCUUAGCAAGCCACUACCUGCUCUCAUGUGCACCAUUCCGCCAAUGCGUCAUCCUCACCCAGCACCAUGGGCGAGCCGUGCUCUUGGCCACCUGUCCAUGCAGCUUCUGAUAACCAAACAGAUUCUAACCUAACCUCCUCUCCCACAGUUGUAACUGAACAACCAUGUAACAACCCCAAACCAACUCAUCCAACCACCUCACCUAGCUUAUAAAUACCCACACCGGUGUACUCUGAAGAUAAUAAUACAAUUCUUCUUCUUUUUCCUUUUGUAUUUUCUGACCUGUGUAACCACUUCUAUCAUGGUAUCAGAGCCAGCUUUGUUUUCUUGAUUUUUUUUUCAAGAUGCCGUCAUCUACUCACUCUUCUGAUCUUCAUUUACCUUCUUCUUCAACCUCCAGCCCCGUUUCUUUAUCCCUCAACCAUGCCCUCCCAAUCAAACUUGAUCGUAACAACUACAUUCUCUGGAAAACCCAGAUGGAAAAUGUAGUUUACGCUAAUGGCUUUGAAGAAUAUAUCGAUGGCACUAAGCCAUGCCCGCCUCAAGAGCUCCAUACUGGCGAACUCAAUCCUGACUUUGUGCAAUGGAGACGUUUCGAUCGCAUGGUUCUUAGCUGGUUGUAUUCCACGUUAACACCAGAUAUUAUGGGCCAAAUCGUUGGGUUUCAGACCUCCCAUGAUGCUUGGAUGGCUCUACACAAAAUCUUUUCUGCCUCAUCCAAGGCUCGUAUUCUACAGCUUCGUCUUGAGUUUCAGACAACAAAGAAAGGGGCUGAUCCUAUGCUAGAAUACAUUCUCAAGAUUAAGACUAUUUCUGAUAAUCUUGCUGCCAUUGGGGAGCCUGUUAAGGAAACUGAUCAUAUCUUGCAACUUCUUGGAGGACUGGGUUCUGAAUACAACUCUAUUGUGGCCUCCUUAACAGCCCGUGAAGAUGAUCUUUCUCUUCACUCUGUCCACAGUAUUCUACUUACCCAUGAGCAACGCUUAAACCAUCAGCAUACCUCAUCUGCAGACCUGCCAUUUGCGGCUGCCCACAUAGCUGCUGCCCCUUCCACCCAACAUCCCAGACCUCAUCACCCCAGAUUCCAAUCUCCUCAACCCCGAUUCCAAUCUCAUUACUCAGGAAAUCACCAGCAUGUCCCAUUUUCUCAUACCAGACCCCAUAACAGACCUCAUAACAGACCUGCUAACAGAUCCUCCUCAUCUGCUCCUCACCUCCCUACUCGCCCUCAAUGCCAAUUGUGUGGUAAAUUUGGACAUACCGUUGUAAAAUGUUAUCACCGUUUUGACAUCACCUAUCAAGGAACCAGUGGUGUAUCUUCUUCACAAGACUCUUCUCCAUUACAAGCCAUGCUUGCUGCAGCACCAAAUCAUCAAGAUUCUUGGUUCUUUGACACUGGAGCUACCCACCAUCUCAGUCAUUCUGCUCAAACUCUCUCUAAUGUUCAACCGUACUCAGGUGCUGAUCAGGUCACCAUUGGUGAUGGUCAUUCCUUACCCAUCCUAAACACAGGUAAUAAAUCCUUUUUCUUUCAUUCCAAGGUCUUUUGCUUAAAUCAAGUUCUUCAUGUUCCUCAACUCUCCACUAACCUCAUCAGUGUUUCCAAAUUUUGCACUGAUAAUGCUGUCUUUUUUGAGUUUCAUUCAACCCAUUUCUUUGUCAAAGAUCAGGUCACCAAGCAGACACUUCUCAAGGGAUGGCUUAGGGAUGGUCUGUAUGAGUUUCCUUCUUCAUCAUCUACUCUUGCUUUUGUGUCUACCAGCUCCGUUUCUGCUCUCACUCCUGGUGCAAUUUGGCAUUCCAGACUUGGACACCCAGCAGCUCCUAUUCUUUCCAAGGCUUUAGCCUCUUGUAAUCCUUCUGUUUCAUUUCAGAUUAAUAAAAUUGCUCCAUGUAAAAUUUGUCCACUGGCUAAGUCUCAUUCUUUACCUUAUUCUUUGUCAUCUUCUCAUGCAUCCCAACCCUUAGCUCUUAUUCACACUGACUUAUGGGGUCCUGCUCCUUCUCCUUCCACAUCAGGUGCACGGUAUUUUCUUCUUUUCAUUGAUGAUUAUUCCAGGUAUACUUGGAUUUAUUUUCUCUCCACCAAGGACCAGGCCCUCUCCACUUUCAUUACCUUUAGAAAAAUGAUUGAAAACCAGUUAAAUUCCACCAUAAAAUGCAUUCAAUCUGAUAAUGGUGGGGAAUUCAUAGCAUUUAAACCUUACCUUGAAGCUCAUGGAAUUGUUCAUCAGUUUUCGUGUCCACAUACACCCCAACAAAAUGGUCGGGCAGAAAGGAAAAUCCGCCAUCUUGUGGAAAUAGGCAUGGCCCUUCUGGCUCAAAGCUUCCUACCUUCAAAGUAUUGGUCAUUUGCCUUUCAAACAUCAGUCUAUCUCAUCAAUCUCCUACCAGCUAAACUCCUCAAUUUUCAAUCUCCUCUACAAGUUCUUUUUCAUAAAAUUCCAAACUAUCAUCAUCUCAGAGUUUUCGGCUGCUUGUGUUUUCCCUCCUUAAGACCUUAUAAUCACCACAAACUCUCCUAUAGAUCUACUGCUUGUGUGUUUCUUGGCUAUGCCUCAGCUCACAAAGGUUACAUUUGUCUUGAUGUCUCCACUAAUCGUCUAUACAUAUCCAGAGAUGUUCUCUUUCAUGAAUCCUCUUUUCCAUUUCAGUCAAUACCUGCUCAUUCACCCUUACCACAGCACACUCCUCUCACGUCUGCCUUAAUAAAUCCACCCCUCUUAUCUACAUCUUCACCCUCAACUGUGUCAUUUCCUGUUCCUACUUCAAGUACCAAUUGCACCUCCACUUCAGAUUCUCUUCCACCACUACUUCAGGUCCCAUUUGCACCCACUCCUUCUCCUACACCUUCCUCUUCUCCUUCACCCCUCAACACCCACCCUAUGGUGACCAGGGCAAAAUCUGGAAUUCAUAAGAAAAAGAGUUUUCUCAUACAGACAACAAGUGAGCCUCACACUUACAGUCAGGCAUCUAAGAGUGAACCUUGGGUUCAGGCUAUGCAACAUGAAUAUCAAGCUCUUCUUUGCAACCACACUUGGAGUUUAGUUCCUCCUCCGCCCUCAGCACACAUUGUUGGUUGCCGUUGGAUAUACAAGUUAAAAUAUCUCCCUAAUGGCUCAGUAGAAAGGCAUAAAGCUAGGCUGGUUGCUCAAGGCUUCACCCAGACUCCGGGAGUGGAUUACUUUGACACCUUUAGUCCAGUUGUGAAGCCCUGCACCAUACGCCUCAUCCUUGCCUUGGCAGUUUCCUUUCAAUGGCCAAUUCGUCAAUUAGAUGUGGAGAAUGCCUUCCUUAAUGGGGACCUUCAAGAGGAGGUUUUUAUGGCUCAGCCUCAAGGGUUUGUCCACCCCCAAUAUCCUCACUAUGUUUGCAAAUUACACAAGGCUCUUUAUGGCCUGAAACAGGCCCCUAGAGCUUGGUUUCAAAAGCUUCGAGUUGCAUUGGUUGAUUAUGGCUUUCAGUCAUCUUGGGCAGACACUUCUCUCUUCACUCACCAUACCGCUUCUGAUAUUCUUAUUCUUCUUGUAUACGUGGAUGAUAUCUUGGUUACUGGUAGUAAUCCCAAGCUGGUUUCCCAUUUCAUUUCCUAUCUCCAUGAAAAAUUUGCCCUCAGAGAUCUUGGCCCUUUAUCAUAUUUUUUGGGCAUUCAGGCUCAACAACAGGGCUUGGUUUUGCAUCUCAAUCAACAAAAAUAUAUUGCUGACUUACUUCACCGCACUCAGAUGGAGGCUUCUAAACCAGCCCCUACACCCGGCAGCCUUGGACGCACAUUGUCUCAGUCUGAUGGUGUUCCUCUCCCAGAUCCCUCAGAAUAUCGUCGUAUAGUGGGAGCUUUACAGUAUGUCACUCUCACUCGGCCUGAUAUUGCUUUUGCCGUUAACAAAGCUUAUCAGUUCAUGGCCAAGCCCUCUGAUGUUCACUGGUUGGCUGUCAAACGCAUUCUUCGUUAUUUAAAGGGCACCAUCUCUCUUGGUCUUCAUUUUCAAACUUCAACUUCUACGGAGCUUCAGGGAUAUAGUGAUGCUGACUGGGCCUCCUGUCCAGAUGAUCGCCGAAGCACCAGUGGAUAUUGUGUCUUCCUCGGCUCAAAUCUCAUCUCAUGGUCCUCCUCCAAACAACGCUUAGUCUCCAAGAGCAGUGCUGAAUCUGAAUACCGAGGAUUAGUCUCUCUCACGGCUGAGCUAGUAUGGAUUCAGUCUCUUCUUCAGGAGCUUUGCUUGCCCACUUCUCCACCAGUCUUAUGGUGUGAUAAUCAAAGUGCAGCUCAUCUUGUUGCAAAUCCGGUCUUUCAUUCUCGUUCCAAACAUAUCGAAUUAGACUUGCACUUUAUCAGGGAAAAGGUGUUGCGACAAGAGCUUCAAAUCUGCUAUGUGCCGUCCACUGAUCAACUUGCUGAUAUUUUAACCAAACAUUUGCCUAUUUCCCAAUUUUGUAGCUUACGAAGCAAGCUCACAGUCACCUCCCCGCCUAUGAGCUUGAGGGGGGAUGAUAACCAAACAGAUUCUAACCUAACCUCCUCUCCCACAGUUGUAACUGAACAACCAUGUAACAACCCCAAACUAACUCAUCCAACCACCUCACCUAGCUUAUAAAUACCCACACCGGUGUACUCUGAAGAUAAUAAUACAAUUCUUCUUCUUCUUCCUUUUGUAUUUUCUGACCUGUGUAACCACUUCUAUCAGCUUCUUCAUGGCAGAAAAGGGGUCCCCCCUCAUCUCAAAAAAAAUGAAUGGAAAAUUCUCUCUCUCUCUCUCUCUCUCUCUCNNNNNNNNNNNNNNNNNNNNNNNNNNNNNNNNNNNNNNNNNNNNNNNNNNNNNNNNNNNNNNNNNNNNNNNNNNNNNNNNNNNNNNNNNNNNNNNNNNNNNNNNNNNNNNNNNNNNNNNNNNNNNNNNNNNNNNNNNNNNNNNNNNNNNNNNNNNNNNNNNNNNNNNNNNNNNNNNNNNNNNNNNNNNNNNNNNNNNNNNNNAUUAGGUUUGUCAAAAUCUCCUAAAGUUUGAUCUUUUUGAAUGACCACAUCUCUACUUCUUACCAAUUUCUUAUUGGUUAGAUCCAAAAUUUGACUCCAAAGUCCUCAUCAUCAUACCUAACAAAGACAUGUGGAACUGCCUUAUCAUCAAGUUUGGAUUUCUGUUAUUUGGAAACAUGGACAAAAGUUUUACACCUUAGACAACUUUGCAAUCUUCAACAUACACCAACCCUCUCAAUGAUGUGGAGUGAUUCAUCAUUUCAACCACACCAUUAUGUCAUGGAGUGCUUGAGAUUGUUUUCUCAUGUCUUAUACCAUUUGUAGUGCAAUAAACUUCAAACUCCCUUGAGUUGUACUCACCUCCAUUAUUAUACCUAAGACAUAUCAAUUUCCUUCCAUUCUCUUUCUCAAUCAUGGCAUGAAAUCGUAGAAAAUACUAAAAUACUUGAUCCUUUGAUCUGAGCAAAUAAAUCCAUACCUUCCUAGUAGCAUCAUCAAUAAAGGUGAUAAAAUGUUUAUUUCCUCCAAGAGUUUCCACAUCCAUGGGGCCACAAACAUUAGAGUGUACCAACUCCAACUUUUUUAACUUCUUAUAUCUACUAUUAAAGGAAACCUUAUGCUGUUUUCCAACCAAACAAUGAUCACAAGAAGACAAGGAUUCAUUUUUGGCCAAGGGAAUUAAGAAAUUCCUUGCCAAAACUUGCAAUCCUUUCUCACUCAUAUGUCCCAAACUUUUAUGCCACAACUCCAAGGAAGUACCCUUUAUAGCAUGUAACUCAUCAUUACAAACUUUCCCUUGAGUCUUGUACAAAUUAAGUGCAACAUGCUUCUUCUUUUGCAACAACCAAUGAGCCUUAGUGAGCUUCCACACUACAAGAAAAAAAGCUCUUCAUUGACAGUUUUUCAUCAUCAAGAUAAGGUAGAUCGGUAUUCACAUAUGUCAUCUAUGCCAGUGUCAAGAAAUGAUAAAAGCUAGCUUGACAUAUGCAUAUGUUAAGGUAGACCUUAUUUCUAUCAAUGUAGGUAUCUUAUUAAUAUGAUAUAUGUUAAUGUUUCUUCCACUUCAAUCAAGGUUAGGUUAAACAUAUGUGAAGGUUGACUCAUUGUUUUGUCAAGAUUAUAUUCAAUAUAUCUUAAGCUUAAGUAUGACAUAUGUCAAUGUUGUUUUAUAUGCUUUUAAAUUUAAUUUACACAUAUGUCAAGGAUUUUUUUUUUCAAAGUUGAAAUUUUAAUAUGUUAAGGUUCCUUUAUUCUUAUGUCAAGGAAUACAAUUUCUUUUAUGUCAAGAUUUCUUUAUUCAUAUAAAGGAAAUUGUUUUAUUUCAUAUCAAGGUUGCAUAUGGAACAUGUCAACAACCUAACCUGUUGCCCAAAUGAUGUACAUAAAAAUUGAACCUAUUGUGUGUGUGUGUAUAUAUAUAUAGAUAAAUAGAUAGAUAGAUAGAUAAACUACAUGGAUGUAUAAAAUAUAUUAAAAAAUAUAUAUAUGAACAUGUAGGCAAAUAUAUUGACAAAAAAAAACUUAAUAUCCUUGCAUAAUCUUGUAUUAUCAUCACAUACAUCCAAAAAAACGCAAAUAUGUACCCAAAAAUCCAAUAGUUAUACAUGAUAAAUAUAAUGUAUGCAUGAUCUUGUGCCUUCAAAAGUGCUGUAAUUGCUGCAAAUGCCACCUAACCUUCUGCAACUAGGAAAAAACAUCAGUAUAUGUUUAUAUUUGAAAGAUUAAUAAAAUGAUAUAAACACGUAUCCAAAUGUAUUCCCAAACAACCUAACAACUAUAUAUAAUCUUGUUAUCUUAUCAAAAAUAUAUGAAAAAAGGAUAGAUAUUUACCCAAAAAUAACCAAAUAUCAAGUAAUUGUACAUGAUAACAAAAAUUUAUGUGUGAUAUUCUCCUCUAAAAACUGCAACUACUGCAAAUGUCACCUAACCUUUGGCAAGAAAGAAAAAAGUAACAUUAUUUUAUGUUUAUGUUUGAAAGUUCAUUAAAAAGAUAUAAAUAUUUAUCCUAAAUAUAUCAAAAUGUAUCCAUAAACAACUUAGCAAGUAUGCAUGAUCUUAUACUAUUAUCAAAUAUACAUAUAUAUAUAAGAUAUUUAUUAAAAAAGAACCAAAAUUAAAUAAUUAUGCAUGAUAACAAGAACUUAUACAUGAUCUUGUACUCAUAUCAAAUAUAUAUAUAUAAAUGACAGAUAUUUACCAAAAAAUCCAAUAGCUAUACAUGAUGACAAAAACUUAUGCAUGAUCUUGUACUCUAAAAAUUGUAAAUGUUGCAAAUAUCACCCAACCUCUUGCAAAUAAGAAAAAAAACAACAUUAGUUUAUGUUUAUAUUUAAAAGUACUAAUUAAAAAGAUAUAAACAUGUACCAAAACACAAAAAAAAAAAAAAACAAAAAAAUCUAGCAAUGAACUUUUAGGGAAAAAAUAUAGAUAAGAUAUGUACCUAAAAAUAUCCAAUAAAAGAAAAAACUAAUGGGAGAAUUGGGCUUUACACCCAUUUGGCUUUGAUAAUUAAUAAAAGGUCCUUCAAAUACUCAUAAUUGAUUAUAAGGAUAUGAUAUAAGAAUAGACAAAAAUACCCUUUUGACUUACACCCAUCAUUUUUGUUUUUAUACCACCACUCUUUAUAUGUCACUUCCAUAAAAUUCUUCAUUAUUUAAUCUUUUUUUAUUUUUUUAAAACUCUUUUAAAAAUAAUUGAAAAAUCAACUUUAUUUUCUAAACAAAAAUUAUAUUAAUGAUUCAAAAACUAUUUUGGAAAAACUUUUGAAAAAAAAAACUAUUAAUUUAAAUGAAUAAAAAUUAUCUUUUACAUUUUAGAAGUAAAUAAUUUAAUGAUUAAAACACUAUUUAAAAUAAAUGUAUUUACUAUUUUUUUCUUCUAUACUAAAAAAGUAUUUUAAAGUUUAUUUUUUUACUAUUAUAAAAUAUAAAAAAUUAAUUUUUUUAAUCUUCUUCCUUCUUUUUUUUAAUAAUUUUUUGAAUAUAGACUUUUGGUAAUAAGUUAUAUGAAAUGUUGCAAAUUUGUUUAUUAAGGAAUUUUCUUAAUAAUUUGACUUAAUUGAAAAAAAAAAUAAAAGAGAUGGAUGAAGAGUUUUUAUUUUAAAUAUCCAAUUAAAAUUUUUCGUAUUUAAAAAUGGAUUAUAUUAAUACAUAGUAUAAUAGAGAUCGAAUUUUUCUCAUAUAAAAGGGUUGAAUGGUAUAUUUACCCAUUUUAAAUGAAAACGGUAGUUAAAAAUUGUAUAGAUUAUAUUUGAGUUUGGUUUUAAAAUAUUUUUUUUAGUUUUUACUUCUUUUAUUUUUAAAAAUAAUUUUUGUUUUCUAUAUUGUCUCUUUUUAAAAAUAUGUUUAAUUAGAAAAAAAUUAUUUUUAAAAAUGAAAAUUGAAUACCUUGUUUAAUACAAUUUUUUUGUAUGAAAAUAAUAAAAAGAAUUAAAUUUUAUUUAUUGAUUAUCUUUAUAUUUUUUCUAUUAGUUAUUUUAAUAAUAAAAUAAAAGAUAUAAUAUGUUCACAAUUAAAUAAAUGAAUCGGUUAAUUGUAUAUUUUUUUCACAAAAAUAUAAUAUGUUCACAAAAAAAAAAAAUUUGGAUUUAAGUUUUCCACUUUUUUUCUUAAUCAAACUACUGAAAUUAUAUUUAAUUUGUAUCAUUGUACAAAGGUAUUCACUAAUUGCACAAGGGAAAUGUACUAAAUGUACAAGGGGUGUAAAAGAUUACUAUUUGUAAAAGAUUUUAAUCAAUUCUAAACCACUUAUUUAUCUUCCUCGUCGCCCAUGAAUUGCAUGUCCAUAUCAUGCACUUUAUUUAACUGUCAUAUAGAAAUUCCGAUACUUUCCCCAGUAAUGAUGUUUGAGGAAAAAAAUUUAACCCUAAUUCAUCUACCAUUUUCUUAGCUAAACCAUUAAAAAUAUGGUUAACACACGUACGUGGAUACAUUACUUAGAAGGAAUAUAUUGCAUUAUUGUACAAUGGUAUUACACUAACUGUACAAGGGAAAUAUAUUAAGUGUACAAGGGUGUACAAGGCUAUCAUUUGUGAAAGAUUUUAAUCAAUUCUAAAUCACUUCUUUAUUUUCCUUGUCACUCAUAGAUUACAUACCCAUGUCAUGCACUUUAUUUAACUCCCACAUGGAAAUUCUGAUACUUUCCCUAGUAAUAAUAUUUGAGGAAAAAAAAAAUUAACCCUAAUUCAUCCACCAUUUUCUCAGUCAAACCAUUAGAAAUAUGGUUAACAUACCUACAUGGACAUAUAACUUAAGAGGGAUAUAUUGCAUUAUUGUACAAUUGUGUUACACUAACUGUACAAAAGAAAUGUUCAAAGUGUACAAGGUUACCAUUUGUGAAAAAAUUUAAUCGAUUUUGAAUCACUUCUUUAUUUUUCUUUUCAUCCACGAAUUGUAUAUGAAAUUUGUACUACUGUACAAGUGUGUUAUACUCACUAUACAAAGCAAAUGUACUAACUGUAUAAGACAAAAAUACUAACUAUACAAGGGGUGUACAAGGCUACCUUCUAUGCAAGAUUUCAAUCAACUCUAAACCUUUUUUUUUUCUUGUCACUUAAGGAUUAGACACUUUCCCCCCACACAUUGCUUCACCUAAAAAUUGUUACAAUUUGAAUUUUUAAAUUUCAUCAUCCAAAAUUUGUAAUUGCAUAUUUUGUUUGAGUAGUUUUAACAAUUUUUUUAGUACAUUUACAUCUCAUAUAAAGGAAAAUUAAUCACAAUAUUUAGGUACUACCUUUUUUGUGAAAUCAGGCAUGAGGAAAAAAAAGAAAAAAAAAAGAAAAUUAUGAUACAUUUGCUUGACUUGAUGACAUCGUGUUUUAAUAAUUUAAACCAUGUCAAGUUCACAUUUAUUCCAUAUUUAAAAGGGUAUUUUAAUACUUUUCAAAUUAUUAAAUUAUAAUACAUUAUUCAAUUAAAAAUUAAUUAUCACCAUUAGUUAAAAGAUGGCCAUGUUACAAAAGAAUAUAUUAAGACAAUAUCUAUGUAUUAUUCAUAAAAUAGAGAAAAUAUUCAAAUAAUUGUCUAUAACCUUAAAGAUAUUUAUAUAAAAAAUAACUCAUAUAUAUAUAUAUAUAUUAGAUAAAAAAGAAUAAUACUAUUUUUUAAGGUGUUUAAAAAAUAUUUAUUAUAUAUUUUGUAAGUUUGAAAAAAAAUUAUGAGGGUUAAAAAAUAUUUACUUAAAAAAUGUAGUAAUAAUCAUUUUUAACCAUUGAUUUCCAAUAAUUUUUUUGAGAGAAAAAUAAUUGGUGGAAAUAGUGACACUUCCUUAAUUAGGAAUUAAUUUACAUGGUCCCACCAAUUACAUGGUCUCAAAAUUGCAAUAGCAGCAAAUGUCACCCUAUACCUUGCAAAGAGAAAAGAUGCAACAUUAAUUAAAAUUUAUGUUUGAGAUUUUAUAAUCUUGCUUAUCCAAGGCCAAACCUAACAUCAAAUUAAGGCAUAAAUCUGGAACAUGCCUUAUAUAUUUCAAUGUCAACUUACACUUCAUAUUGGUUGCAAAGAAAACAUCACAUAUCCCUACAAUCUUGGAGUGACUAGGGUUUCCCAUCAUAACUGUGCCAAAUUUUCUAACUCUGUAAUAAGAAAACAACUCCAAGUGAGGAGUAGCAGGGUAGGAGGUUGUAGUGUUUACAAUCCACUCAACUCUUUGCUCAUCUAUAUGCAAACACUCAUUUGAGAGCACUAAAACUUAAUCACUAUUGGAUAUAGAGGCUAUGAUAUUCUUGUUAUCUUAUUUUUCCUGAUUUUGUCUAUUCUGUUCUAUUUUCCAAAUUCGAAAGUUCUUUUUCAUAUGCUCAUCUUUUCCAUGAUGGAAACAUUUUAUUUUAUCUCUGGACUAAGACUUCCCCUCAAACUUGUCAUGACCUUUCUAUCCUCAAUUCCUAGUUCUUCCUCUACUUUCUAUGAUGAGGACUUGUGCAUUUUCUGGGUCUUAAGCCUUCCUUCUUGUUUUUUCAUUGAACAAAUUUCCCUUCACAAGCUCCAUAGAUAAUACAUCAUUCGAAAUAGAGUUACUAAUAGUCACAAAAAAGGUUUCUCAACUGUCUGGUAGUGAACACAAUAACAAAGAAGCUUGUAUAUCAUCAUCCAUAACCAUUUUCAUAGCAACCAACUGAUUUGCAAUACUCUAAAAAACAUUCAAAUGAUCUAUCAUUAGUGGUCAUUCCUUUAACUUCAUGUUCACUAACUUCUUUAACAAGAAAAUGUUAUUCCUAACAAUUUUUUGUUCAAACAUUGAUUCCAAUUUCUUCUAGAGAUUAUAGGCAUUUGUUUUAUUUGCCACGUAAUGACGUGAGGUUGUAUCAAUCCAUUGCCUAAUGUAGGCAAUUGCUUUUUUGUUCAUCUUAUUCCACUCUAAAUCAGAAAUAUCUUUAGGCUUAACUUCUUCACCCUCAAGAGUAUCUGGCAAAUCUUUGAUGGUGAGAAAAUCUACCAUCAUGGACUUCCCAUAGCCCAAUUUGAAUUAUUAAGUUUUACCAUGGAUACUAAGUUCCCUUCUAUUUCCAUCCCUUUCAAAAAUAAAAGUUCCUACAACUAGACUUUGAUACCACUUGUUGGGAAGUUAAAGGAAGAGAUAGAGUAUUCACCUGCCAAGGUUAAGAGAUUCCUCCACAAUGAUAACCAUCACCCAACAAUAAUAACAACUUAACAAAAAUCAAGAAUGAUAAUCCAAUAACUUUCAACCAAAAAGAAGGGACACCGAAUAUAAUAUGAAAAAAAUCAUGGAGAAAUUUCUUUUAAUUACCAUGACAUAAAUUUCAUCUUUAAAACUCUUUUUUUUUUUUUUUUGCAUGAUUGUAACUUCAUCCCUAAAAGAAUAUUUUUUUUAUCCAUGACUAUAAACCUCAUCCUUAAAAGUUUUUUUUCUAUAAAUAAAAAAUUCAUGUAAAAAUGUUAUAAAAAUUAUUUGCCAUGAAUACAUGAUGGGAUGAAAUGUAAUCUUUUUGUCAUGAACCCAACCUUCAUCAUUGAGAAGACCUUUAUUUUCCAAGAAUAUAAACUUCAUCGCUCAAAAAUAAUUAUUGUGACUAUAAACUUCAUCCCAGGUACAAGUGUAAUAGGAGCAUCCAUUGACAAAAGGUUUACCUUAAGAUGACCAUCUCACGGCUAUUGAGAACGAAUCAACCCUAUUUCUAUGUAAAAAAAUUUUGAUUGCAGAAACUUCUUUUUGUGCCUUAAAAUUGCAUUCAUGAUUAAAAUUAUAUGAGAAGUUUGUUGUAGUAUAAGGACAAUAUUUUUUGUGGAGGAAGAGUUUUUUUUGUUCCUUUUUUCGAUGAGAUGUUACAUGUUAAAAAGAAGAAAGAUGAAUUAUGUACAAACUAACACCAACCAACUCCAUACAAACCAACAAGGAAUAACAGAGCUAGAAAUAUUUGAGGAAAUAUUAUUUGUUUAGGGAUGGAGAAAUAUUUUCAUUUCAGAAAGGUAGAAUAGUUGUUUUGGAUUUUUGGAAUUAUUUACAGAUUAUCAAUCGAUUGUUUAUGGAGGAUCUGAGCUGUGACCUGGUGUCGAUCUGAUUGGAUUAUGUCAUUUUUCAUUCUAUGUUGGAAAAUGACAUUCUAUACUUGUUUUUCAUUUUAGAUUGCUUGAUUGAACUGGUUCCUCUCUAAAAUUCAAAAAAUACAACACCAUAUAAUUUAUUAUAUUAUUUAUUUGAAAUACAAAAACAGAUUGAUAAAUUACACCAAUUAACCUUUAAAUACAAAGCAAAGAAUAAUUUAUUUGUACCCUAUGUUAUAAGCAUCAAGCCCAUAAUGGAGAGGAAACAACAAAAGAAUAUUCAUGGCUCACCCUUAAUUAUACAAACUCCACCCAAACAGUUCUAGAGAUUAAACCUUGAGUGCUUACACUCAGGAGGGACACCUUGAGGGAAGCGUUUGAGAUCAGUGCAGUAGUUGUAAAUCAUGAAGUUCUUCUGAACCCAUCUCAGCCUUCUUCUGCUGUAGGCAUCAAGUUCCUGGGUCUGGAAGGCACUGUCAGAGAAUGUGCUUGUGGAGGUGGAAGUGCUGGCUCUGAAGUUCCUGUAGUAUGCUGUGAAGGGUGCCUUGGACCAGUCAGUUUUCACCAACCCUCCUCUUGUGGCCCAGUCAUCCGCAUUCCAGAGGCUUGAGUAUAUCCUCAUUGGCUGGUUCUUUGGGAAGGGAACCCCCAUUGAUUCUGCAUUCUUGAAUAGCCUUAUGGGAACGUUGUCCACCAAGAAACUGAUGAAAAAACCAACACCCAGUUCAGUUUUAGUUUAUAGAAAAAUAAUGGAAGUAGCGUUGGAAUGUAGGGUUACGUACAUGAUGUGUUGGGCGCUCCAGGCGAUGGAGUAGGUGUGGAAGUUACGGGUGGGGUCGAACCAAAGGUAGAAUUGUUGCUCCCUGUUGCCCUUCCCUUGAGUGAAUACAUUGGUGUGGAGGAUAUAAGGAUCUCCACUUAGGUUUCCCAAGAACUCGAAGUCGAUCUCAUCAUGGGUUGGCCCUUGAGAAGACAACUGCAUCACAAAUAUAACCUCAAUUUCCAAUUUCAUCCUACGAUUUCACGUGCCCAAAAAUAUACAUAGCAGGUAUCAAGUUAUGUUCCUUAAAGAAGUUUGGAGAGAGAGUUGAUGAAACAGGACUUGUUGGUUGAUAAUAAAAACGACAACUGUUUUCUAUUUUUAAAACUAAAUACUGUUUUUGACACACUUUAAUAUUUCAAAACAAACAAAAUAAUACCUUCUAUAAUAAUUACUCUAUACCCUGAGGGGACAAAACUACUCCCGAGUUCCCAAAAGGAAAAAGAAAGAAAACGGUCACCCACCCACCAUUUUAAAGGAGGUCACGAGAACAAGUAUGUUGAGAAAUCUUAUCUUUUACGCAAACAUAUAUUCAAGCAACUUUCAUCUUUUGUGAACAUGAGAAAAGCACUAUCAUCCCUAACAAAAUAGAGUUUUGUAAUGAUAUCGAAGUAGAAGAGGAAUGAAGUUUGAGAAUGAUGACAUACGUAGUAGGCAGUGACAGUGCCAGCGGAGUUACCAGCAACAAGCUUGAGUUGCAUAUCAAUCCUCCCAAACAAAUACUCCUUCUUGGACUGAAACCCAGACCCAGAUGUCUUGUCCAGAGAGAGAGACAGAAGCUGUCCUCCAUUGAAGAUCUUAGCACGAUGAUCGCCCCAUGUUAUGUCAAAGUCUUGAUAGAAGUUACUAGCAGAGGCAGUAGCCAGAACCAUUGCAAAAACCAAGCCAAAAAAUGAAUACCCAUUUGAAGAAGACCCCAUUUUGAGAAGAGAAUAGUGGGUUUUGUAGAGUAUUGGAUGUGAGGUUUAGAGGAAGAGAGGGAUUGGUAUAUAUAGGGUUGAGAGAGAGAGCGUAUGAUGUGGGAGACGCGUGAGUGACCAACAACUGGAGACAGCUGAGCAAAGUAGCAGAAGCUGGAAGGCAUUGGUGUUAUCUGAGGGGAGUUGGGUGGUUUUAGGCAUCGGGUUGUUUGUGGGAGAGAGUUUUUAAAGAAUGAUUGGGAUUCUCUCUGUGUAGGGUCCUCAAGCCAUGAUUUCGACAGCUGGUCGAUAACAACUUCUUUUAUGCGUAGGUUCGGCUCACCGCCAUCCCCCCUCUUUCCUUCUCCUUUCUAUUUUUCAUAUAUAUUUAAUUUUCAUAUACAUCUUAUCAUUCUUCAGAAUAUUGAAAACUCUUACUUUUGUGGGCUCAAGAUUUUAAUUCCAAAGUCAUUAUACUUGGUAAUAGAUACUAAUAGGUUUUAAUAUAUCCAAAUAAAUAAAUAAUAUAAAUAAAAACUCAUUUAUUUUAAAUUAUAUUUAAUUUAUAAAAUAUUAGAUAGUUUUAGAAGCAAAUGAUAUAUAACAUUUAUUUAAAAUUUAAUUCACUAAGAUAGGAAAUAAAAAAUUUGUUUCAAAAUCAUAUUAAGAAAUAAUAUCCAAAUAUUUUUAUAGUUGUGAAUGAGUUUUUAUUUUUCAUUUUUUUAAUAUAUGAAGCAAGACAUAUUUUUCCCAUUUAGUUUUAGAAAGCAGUAAAAAAAAAAAAGUAUUGAGAAAAAUAGUUUUUCAUAUUUGGUUUUACCAUGAAAAAAAAAAUCAUAUAUAAUUAAAAUUUAUAUAUUUUAAAAUUAUUUAAUAUUUAUAUAAUAAAGAGAAAUAACUAAAAUAAAUUUUAAAAAUCAUAUAAAAAUAAUUUAUUAAGUUUAAACCUUUUUUUUUUUCACUUUUUUUUUUCUGCAUUUCAUUUCUAUUUUCUUUUCCUUAUAUUUUUCAUCAAUUUUUUUGGGAACUAAACAAAGGCUUAAUUUUUUUUCUUUCUCAAGCUACAAUACCAUCAUCUCAUUAAGCUAAGUAAAAUGUGUUAGAGAUAUAAACAUUACAAAUUGAACCAUUGUUUAAGCUAUGUUUGAUUCUCGAAAAUUUUAAGAGAAAAUGAAAGGAAAAGAAAAUAUAAAGAAAAAGUAGAAAGAAAAUAAAAAAUAAAUUAAAAGUUGAUAAAUUAUUUUUUAUUUAUUAUUUCAAACUCAUAUUACUUAUUUUAACUCAUCAAUAUAAAGAUUAAAUAAUUUAAAAAUAUAUAAGUUUUUAACUAAUUUUAAUUAUAUUUUAUUUUAUUUUUUUAUAUUUUUCAUAAACAACCAAACAUGAUAAAAUAAUUUUUCUUUACAUUUAUUUUCUUACCUUAGUAAUUUUCGAGAACCAAACAUAAGCUUAAUAUUUUAAGCUUUUAAAAUGGAUGUAUAAACUAAUGGCCAUAUUUGAUUAUCACAUGGUACUAAGGAAAAAAAAAAUAUGAAGAAAAAUGACUCUCUUGGGUUUGAUUUUACUAUAAAAAAAUAUGAAAGGAAGUCAAAUAUAAUUAAAAUUAUUAAGAAAUUUAUAUAUUUUAAAAUUAUUUAAUCUUUAUUUUAAAAACUUAAAUAAGUAAAAAAAAUUUAAAGUGGUACAUAAAAAUAAUUCAUUAAUUUUAAAUUUAUUUUUUAUUUUUUUCCUUUUUCUUUCAUUCUAAUUUUCUUCUUUUUCAAACUUUCCAAUAACUAAACAUGAAGAAAAUGUUUUACUAAACCACUAAACAAAAAAUAAUAAAUUUAAAAAUAAAGUGGUGUAAAGUAUUAAUAUGAUAAUAAUUAGUUAAUAAUAACUGAAAAAAAAAUUCUUUGAUAUUUUACCGUUUGAAUGUAAAAUUGAAAAAAUAAAAUAAAAUAAAUUCAAAAUGUAUGAUUAUGGCAUUGGAAACAUGUGAAGGCAGAAGAUAAAUUCCAUGUCGCUUUCAGAUGUAGUAAAUAGGAUCACGGGACACGACAUUGUUAUGUGGGUCGAAUGAAUGACUUGUCAAUUCCAAUGGCCGUGGGAUAUGUUUCUCAAUUGCUUUUCCCUUACUCCAAAAUGUAAGAAAAAGAAAAUAGGAAGGAAGAAUACGAAGGAAAAAAAUUGAAGAAAAAUAAAAAUUAAAUUUUAAAUUAAUAGAUUAUUUUAAUUUUUUUUAUUUGUUUAAUUCUUUUAUAUAAAUAAAUAAAUAAUUUAAAAAUAUAUAAAUUUUUUAAUAUUUUUAAUUAUAUUUGAUUUUUUAUAAUAAAAACAAAUAUGAAAAUAUAUAUAUAUAUUUUCUGGAACCAAUCGUACCCUCAUGUUUUUUAAUUCUCUAAUUCUUUGUUUCCUUUUUAUAUUCCAUAUUUCUCUUUUUUAUUAACUUGAUAUUUGAAUUAAAGUCUUAUUUCAUGAGGAUAAAAUUGUUAAAAAGGUUUCUAAUUACUCUUUAAGGUAUAUUAAGGGUGUGUUUGGCUGUGGGAAUGUGAAAAAAUAGUAAAAAAUUCAUUUGAACUUUCUAUUAUUCUAUAAUUUUUUUUAAAUAUAUAUAUAUAUUUAAACAUAUUUUCAAAAUUUUCACUUUAGUUAGAGUAUUUUCUUGUGUUUCACAAUUAAAAAUUGAGAUUUAUUUUUAUUUUUUCUUUUUUCUAUUAUUUGGAUUAAAAAGAAUUAUAAAUAUUUAUUAUAGUCAUUUAACUUAUAUAAUACAUUAAAAUUUUUAAACAGAUAGUCCAAAAAAUAAGUCAAAUUAAUUCCAAAAAAAAGUCACUAACGUAAGGUUCAAAAAUAAUUUGAUCUUUAAUUCUUAAGUAAAGAUCCAUUAAAUAAUAGUUAGAUAUAGAUGGAUGGAUAGAUUUAAGGUGGUAACAAUACGGGAUUGGCUUGCCUCCACAACUGUAACAGAACAAUGUUCUUCCCUUGGAUUAGCUAACUACUAUAGACGGUUUAUUAAGGGAUCGAUACUCUAAUAUGGCUAUCCCUCUCAUUGACUUGAAGAAGGGGAGGGAAUGGAGGUGGGCACUGGAGUCUCAGACUAUCUUCCAAAGGUUAUAACCUCAAAGCCAGGGUUGAGACUACCAGACCUUAUGCUUUUACUCCUCCCUUUUGUUUAUAAAGGCAUCAUUUCAUUGCAAAGCUUGGAGAUUGUGAGAUUUAGAUGAGUUAAUUUCACUCAAAAUUGAAUUUUAUAAUUUUAAAAUAAAUUAUAUUAAUGUUUUUGUUUUUUUUUUGUUUUUUUUUUUAAAAAAAAAACCAUUGCAAUUACAAAAGCAACCAUUGUGUAUUUCUUUUGUUUGGGAUCGAUUUUUUUUUUUUCCUCAAAAUUUGCCUCUUCUUAAUUAUCAAUUUAGUUUUGAUAUUUUUCUCAAAAGCAAAUUUGAAUUGAAUAUAUAAUUGAUGGGUGGCGGUGGAAAAGGGUUAUUUCCAACUAGCUGUCAUGUACAUUGAAAGAAAAAGCUAUGGGCCAAAACGAUGUUGACCAAAACAGGGUCUCUACAUUCAUUGGGUGGAGAUGAGUUUGGAUUCACAAAGCAUUAAAUUUAUAGUGUAAUUUCCACCAUCAAGGGUCCUUCCUUUUUUUUUUUCCUAAUAAAAUUGAAAAAAAAAAAAAAGGAAAAAAAGGCAACUAAUGAGAGAAUUUAGAAAAAAAAAAAAAACCAUUUAAAGUACAGCCAACAUUUUUGUUUACGCGUAGAAAUAAGAUUGGAAAUGUUGAUAUGGAGACAAGGAUGAGGUAGUUGCCAUGAAACAUUAAAAAACAAAGGCAUUGGUAGUAGGAAAAAGGCCAGGAAUAAUCAAUGGGUAUGCUAUUAUUGAAGAGUGUUUGUUAAGGAUUCCUUCUAAUUUGGAUUACUUCCAUUUCACAUAUAGAUGGGUCUUCCUUUCCAAAUUUUCCAUUUUUAAGUGCUUAUUUAUCACAUGCAACCAUUUUCUUUAUAGAUAAAAAUAAAAGUAUUAAGUGUUACAAACUUUUAUAUUAUGUAUAUGACAUUAAGAGGGUAUUCGUUUUUUUUAAUUUUUUGUUGAAAAUAAUUUACUUUUGAUUAUUUUUCUUUCUUUUUCUUUUUUUUCUUAAGAUUUAUUAUAAAUUUUUGAAUGAAUAAAAGACAAAAAUAUUUAGUUUUUUUAAAAUAAAAAAAUAAUAUGUUGAUUUUUUUUAACGCUUAAUAGAAAUAAAAUAUUAAAAAAAGAAUAAUGUAAUAUUUAACACUAUUAAACAAUGUUUAAUUUGAAGUUCUAUUUAGAAUUAAGUAAAAAAGAAACAAACAAACACCACAUAAUUAUUUAAAGUAGUUGAUAUAAUUGCUUAUUUGAUUUGAUUGAUGAUAAAAAUUUAUUUUCUAUUUCAUAAUAGAAAUAUUUUACUGUGACAUUUUAAAAAUAAAUAAAUUAUUUUAUAAAAUUAAUAACAAUUGUUUUUUUCUUUUUUUCAUAUGUUAGGCAAAAGAAAUGCCUUCAUACAAUUGAUUGAGAAGUGAUUCAGCCUUACUCAGUGCUAUAUAGGAUCUAUUUUUGUUAAAAUAAUGUAGAAGUCUAGGUUUUUUUUUUAUAGAUAUAUUUUAAAAUUAUAGACAUUUAAUUAAUUAUAAACCUAGAAAAGCAUUUUAGAGAGGAUGUAAAGAGAAAGUAACACUAAUUAAUGACAUGAUUAAUCCAUACCACCACUCAUUGUAUAGGUGCUCAUCUUUAUGGUAGGACCUACUAAGUUUUGAAAUCCCAUUAUUCCACCAUGUACAGAAGAAAUUAUUAAAAAAAAAAAAAGAUAAAGUAAUUUUUUUAAUAUUGAAUAUUUAUUUUUUUCUGUAUGAAAUAAUUUAGUAAAAAUUACAAUUCCAUAAAAAAUAAGCAUAAAAAUUUUAUAUUUGAAUAGCUCUUUAACAACUUUAUUUUAAUUUAUUUAUUUUUUUCAACCAUUCCAUAUAGUUGUAAGUAAUAAUAUCUCAAUUAUUUCUUGUAAUUGUAUUAUAAAAAAGGAUAAAUGGAAAAAUAGAAAUAUUCCCUUUCUCUUGGGUACAUGGAGCUAAGGUAGUAGGUUUCUUUUCUUUUUCUUUUCAUUUUUAUUUUGCUUUUAUUUGUUCUUUGAUGAGCCUUUCCAACAUGUUUCAUUAGUGGAAAAGGUCAGGCUGGGUGUUGUAUUCAUAUUCCAUUAAUUCUCUUAUUUGAUUCAAUAUUUUGAAUUUGCAAGUUUAAUCCAAGUAUCUAGAAAUCAUCUCCUAGAAGUUUGGAUUUUAUGGAUAUAUUAAGAAAUAUCGAUCAAAAAAUAAUUAAUAAAAUAAGAAAUAAUACAUAUGUUCAAGUUGCUAUCAAGUCUCAUAUUUUUUUCUUUCAUGAGCAAGAUGAAAAUAUAGGUUUUCAUCAAUAUAUUAUAGUUAGAUUUUAUGAAUAUAUAAAUAAUACCAACCAAAGAAAUUUUGAGAAAAAAAAUUGAUAAAACAAGAAAUAAUAUAAAUGUUCAAAUUGUUACUUUUAAAUAAUAUAUGUAUAAUAAAUUUGUAAUAUCGAGUAGUAAAUCAAUAAUAUGUAAAACUUUAAAACAUAUUUUAUACAUAAAUAUCUAUUUUAGAUGUAUUUGAUGAUAUAAUAAAAAUGAUGAUAUAGGUAUGAUUUUUAAAAUGUUUAUAAUUUUAUUUUAAAAUUUAUAUUUCUAUUAUAUAUAUAUAAUGUUGGUUAUACAAAAAAAAAAUAUCCACAAAAGUUGAGGAUCAACAUUCCAUAAAAACUAGGGCUUCAACCAAAAUUUUACUUACCCAAAAAAUUUGGAGUAACAUCCAUAAAAAUUGGAGCCUCUAAAUAAAAAUAAGAGGGAUCAUUGGGAUAGUUUUCACAUAGUGAGUGUGCUACUGUGUAUGAUUACACAUUGGAUAAGACUUACAAUGAAUCGUGACAUUAGUUAUAAGGUAGUCAUGAUUCAUCAAGAUACUAGCUAUGUUGCAUAGGGUCCCAACCUUGAGAGAAUUAAGCUAGUAUUGAAAUUUUUAGUGGCUUUGACUUAUGUGUAAGAUCUGAAAGUGGUUGUAUAUUAUUUAUGGAUUGAGUCACCACUAAUUAAGGCAUAUGACAAAAGAUAUUCUCAACAUAGACACCAUGAUAUCUUAUGGGAUUGAGAUAGUGUAUCCCAUUGGGUGAUUAUAAGGACUAGUAAUCAUGUAAAUUAUGGUCAUAUAAAUUCUUUAAGUGGAAUUUGACAUAUGCUCAUAAAGAGUUGAAGUAUGUAAGUUGAUUAAAAAAUAGAAGAAUUUGAAACUCGAGGAUUAGAGAGCUAAUCUUGAGAGGUUGAUAGUAUUUAUCUCGUCAAAUUAUGGAUACCAAUUUAUAGGAAGUUUUUUAUACAAUUGAUUAAUAGGUCAUGGAGUGAGCUUCAUAUCUUGAUUUCAUAUUGAAGAAUACUAGAGUGCGGUUGACUAUCUUGAGUAUGAGGUUGAGUAAAACUUCAAAAUUAAAUUAUGAGGGAAUCAAUAUUCUCCUAUAGUUUCUAGUGAUCUCCACUCAAGCUCACAUUCCUUGGUGGCACAUCAUUUGAGGAAUAAAUGAGUUUUUUUAUUCACAAGUGCACUAAAGGGAUUUUAGUAAAACCACAAGGUUGCAUAGGAGUUUAUCAAUGGUCUUUCUAAAUUAAGCUAAUUAAUUAAUUGGAACCUAAUAGAGCUAAUUAAUUAAUUAAGGCCCAGCGAACUAGAUUAAGUGACCUAAACUUAGGAUGAGCUUAACUUAUUUAAGCCCAUAGGUAGGUCUAUAUAAACCCCCUUAAGGAUUAGGACUUAUAUGAUAUAAGUUAUUCUAUUUUCCAAAAAGAAGAGAGAACUCUAGUCUUCAUUUCUAUGGAGAAGAUUACAUUUUUCUCACAUGCCAAGGUUCGGGAGAAAGUUAUGAAGUAGAAGAUCAUGAGGUAAAUUUUCAAGAUCCACAUCAUCUUAUUUUUCGUUUGGAGUUUGAUUUAGGAACAUUUAGAUCAAAGUUAUACUUUUAGGCCUUACAUAUAUAGUUUCUAUAUCUUUAUCACUUAUGUUGUGUAGAUCUAGCGUCCUUAGGUUGUUAGAGAGCAUGGACCUAUGAUCUAGGGGUUUCCCAACAGUUACCUUGAUAUAUGACUCCUGUGGACCUGCAUUUUUCACAUGCGUUCCCACUCAAUCGGCGAGACUUAUUUUUAUUGGUGAAAAAUUAGUUUUGAAAAAGUUGGAGUCGCCACUUAUUUUAUUUUAUUUUAAAAGGGAAAAUAAAACAAUAAAGAAAAUCCUAAAGAAGUGACUCCAUAGUUUUGGAAAAGCAAGUUUUGAAAAACCUGAGCCUUGGUUUGGGAAUCAAGUUACUUAUCAGGAAGGUACCUCUAAGAGGUAGCACCCCUCUAAGCCUUAAAGAGGUCUCUAGUGACUAAGUUGAGGGGAAUGUGACAAUUAAUUAAUUGAUUGAAAAUACCUAGGUAGACUAAGGUGAUUUUAGAAUUAACAUGCCAAGCCAGAAAGUCAAAUCUUGAUCAUAAAAGAGAGUCAAAGUGUGUAUCUGGACUGCUUCUUAAGUGCUAUCAUAAAACAUCAAAGUUAGUAUAAAAAUAUAGUAUACUAUGCAUUUUUAUCAAAGAUAACCAAACGAUCCAACCUAUAUCAAGGCAAUCAAAAGGGCAAAGUGUUAGAGAUGUCCAUGGUGUGCACUCUCCAUGGUGCGUGAUCAAUCCCAAAUUGGACUGUACAUCCAUUGAAUUGCAGCCCAUGGAGGUUAUGGACUGGCAGUAGAAUGAAGCCUUCAUCCAUGCGUGUUGCCUUGUCUCUUCUUACCUUUGGAAAAUGCAACCUACUCGCUUUGGAUCAAUGGCGUACAUGGUUCUCUUGAAGAUACCAUGGAGAUCUUUAUGGAAAUUGGGAUAUGGACCCCUCAAAAGUUGCAACCCUGGGGAUGCUUGUGCGUGGAUUGGUUGUCUUCAACCCAUAGUGCGUUCCAUGCUUAGUGAACUCUCCCAAAAAUUAAUCCCAUUCAGCAUGUAAGUUUGAGCAAGGUGAUGUUCGGAGUCCUGAUGGAUGCAGCCUCAUCCAAAAAUUUGGCCAUAAUCUACUUUUAAAAGUCAUCCCAAGCAUGAUUCCCCUUUAAAAGAAUGUCAACCAAUCAUUUUUUGUUUGAGAUGGUGUUAUGUGAGUGAUUUUUCCUAAAAAAUCCAUUACUGUGUGUGCUGUGUAGAAUGGAGAAUCAUGGUCUCCCAUGUCCUCCCUUAUGGCAACCUCCUUUUUACUCUCUCAUAGCCUGGAAUCUCCCCCUACCCCAAAUAGAACUAUCCAACAUUCUUCAUUCAACAUACAACCUUGCCAUUCUGUUUGUAUCCAAAGAUGAGAUUUAUCCAAUGAUGUAGAUUUUCUGAAACAAAAUCGGAUUCUAGUGUUUUUCUAUGCUUCUUGAUAAACUUUCUAGCACUGCGUUUGGCCUAAGGAGGUAACACAACAUCACCGACCUUUUCUCCUGAUCAUUUUUAUCCCAGGUCAAAAUUGAAACGAUUUCCCAAGAACUCUAGCAUGUAGAAGAAUUAUGGAAUUAGUUCAUUCACAUUUGAUGUGUUGCCCUUUCUAGCUGCACUUAACCAAGUAUCUCUUACACUAUUGAAAAGACGAUCAACAUGGUCAAACUGACCACCUUGUAACUUUUGGUUGUUUGCACUAAAUGGUGGCAGGCAUAGUAGAUCGAAUAAGACAAUUCUUGCACUAGAAUAAUGAGAACCAUCAUAAAAAUUGGGGACCUCCCAUUUUUCCUUCUUUCUCCAAUCUUCCCAUCCCCCGAGUAGAUCCACUCUUCAGAAUGAAUCUCUUCCCAACGUCUUCUCCAACAGCUCCUCAUUGGAAAAUCCUUUCCAAGACUAGAAUUUGCCCACAUACCUCUCUGCUCCAUUUUCUUUCCCACCUAGCUCUUCCUAUGUCUUUAGAGUUGUGAACAGAAGAGACAACCCUAACCCCCUCUACAUUUUCACUGAUUAGACAGUCUCGACUCCGAUCGCUUGGCUUCCCGUUGUCGUUCCUCUCCAAAAUCCCUUCAAAACCAAUGUACCACCAGUUCUGUUCCUUCCAAAAACAUUCUAAAUCUCCCUUCAUAACCUACGCAUCUCGUCAAAGAAUUUUUCCAAGAUACAUUUGUCUGGGAUCACCUUCCAUACCACCAUUUUUUCCUAUCAUUUCCUUAUUCCAAAAAAAAAUCUCUGCCACUUUCAUUUCUCGAAAAUUCUAGUGAUUCUCUUUCCAAAUAAAUGGCAACCCGUUUUCUCAUGCAAAAAAGCCAAGAAAUAUUAGUUAGAAAACUUAUAAAAUAAUAUAAUAUAAUAUAAUAAAAAUAAUAUAGAAAGCCAUACAAUCCACACAAGUCAUGCAGGUCAUGCAAUCAUGCAAGUCAUAUAAAAAGUGAGCCUAAAAGUGCCCAAGUGACCUAGGGUGAAUGUGUGCAAGAUGGAAGGUGUCUAGGAUGUUUAGGACAAUGCAUAAGUCUAAAUUAGGGCUGCCAAGAGUCACAACGGGGUUAGAUAAAUCAUUCAAUCAGAGUCUCCAAGGUGGUUAAAAAAGGGUAAGUAGUAUGAGUAAUAAUGAGCCACCAGGGAAUUGUUGUAAAGCACCAAACGAACACAUAAUGCGACAUAUGCUAGAAGGACAAAAUGGAGGGUUUGCACUCCUUACCAUUUCAUCAUUCUAUUAUUGUAGCCAAUGUUGCCUUUAAUCCUAACCUUGCUCAUGUUCAUGGAUGAGACAAAAUCAAUUGAUUUUACAUGCCAUAUUAGCCUCCCUGUGAUAUGUUAUAAUUACUUUGAUGUAAUUUGUUGGAAAUACCUAGAUAUCUCCAUUCCUAUCCCUAGAUCAUUAGGGUGCAAGCAAACUAUCCUAAGGGUUCUCUAAAUAUAAAGUAGAAGCAUAGUACACAUUCAAACUUAGAUAUAGAGAAAAAGAAUGUUUUAUCUAUGACUUGGAUGUUCUUAGGUCAAAUCUAAUUAGUGAAGAGUCAAUGUGGAUCUCGUAGACUAGUAGAUUUUCCACUCGAUAAGACUUUUCUAGAUUUUGGCACAUGAAGAGGUGGAAUCCUCUCUUGAGGAUGGAGACUAGGGUUACUCUUUGUGGAAAAGUGAAUGGAAUACUACAAGUCUUAAACCUCUAAGGGGGUUUAUAUAGGCUUACAUGUGGGUUUAAGUGACUUAAGUCCAUUUUAGGCUUGAAUCACUCUUGAAUCCUAAUCAAUUAACCCUAUUGGACUACAACUAGCCAACUAGCUCAAUCCACAAAGAUAAUUCAUAAGCUUUUGUCCAGCCUUGCAUGUUUGACCAAAUGCCCUCAUGCACACCAAUGAAUAUAGAAUCCACAAAUCCCUUAAAAACCAUGCUAGCAUGGAAUAUGAGCUCAAGUGGGAAUUAUUGAGACCCAUAGGAAAAUAUUGGUUCCCUUAAAAUUCAAUUAUGAAGGUGAAUUAACAUCCCAUUAUAAAGAGUCAACUGCUCUUUUAUAUUUUACGAUAUUAUAACGGAAUACUAAUUUUAGGUUUGUGACAUACUAUCCAUUAUAUAUAGACUCCCCAUGAACUAGUAUCUAUAAUCUAAGGAGGUGAAUGUUAUCAACCUUCCAAUACACCUCUACAAUUCUUCAGUCUUAGAUUCUCUUAUUAUGUGAUCAACUAACAUACUGUAACUUUCUAAGAGCCUAUGUCAAAUUCCAAUUAAGGAAUUAUUAUGGCCAUGGAUUUCCUAUUCAUAUAUCCUUAGGAUCACCUAAAAAGACAAAUGAUUUCAAACCUAUGAAAUAUCAUGAUGUUUGUCUUGAAUAUACUUGUGCCACCAACUUUUAUCAACAAUGACCUAAUUUAUAGAGAAUACAUGGGAACCUUAAGGUUUCACCCUUAGUUAAAAGUCAUUGAAAACUUUAGUACAAGCUUAGUACCCUCUCCAGGUUGAGAGCUCAUAUAAUAUAGUAGCUUGGUGAGGUCAAGACCAAUUGAUAGCCAAUAUCAUGACUCACCCUAGGUCCUGUCCAAUGUGUAAUCAUAAACACUAGUGUACUCACCAUGGGCAAACCAUUUUGAUAACUAAGAAAAGUCAUUCCUCCUAUUAGGAAUUAGUACAUUGCAACCUUAAAUGAAUUGCCUAAGUUUAUGAACCAGUUGUGAAUAACUCAUCUAUUUCCAAGGAACCUAUGACUUGGAUCAUUUGUGCAACUCCUAAUGCAGCUAGGUUAUAUGCACUGCAAGAUAUGUCAAACCUGAAUGCUUUGAUAAUGUAAUGCAUGAAGAGGAUAAAUAAAAAAGGACAUUAGAAUCAUAUUAUAGAUAAUAAAAUCCUUUAUUGUUACAUCAUGUCAUGCUUUUUAGGGUUUUAUUCUAAUAAUCUCCCAUUAGCCCUUAAAACAUACUAGGAAUACAUUUGACACCUAUGCUACGCUAUGAUCACUAAAAUGAUCAAAGGCUUUUGACUUUCUCUUGGAAAUGUGAAAAAUGAUUAUACUAAGAGAAGUCAUCAACCUAACUACGACAUACCUCUUACCUUCCAUGUUCAUUGUCUUUAUAGGAGCCAUAAAGUACAUGUGAAUCAAAAUUGGUGGCUUAUUAGUAUUGACUUCAUUAAUUCUUUUGUAAGGCCUUCUAACUUGUUUUGCAUUGAGACAUUCUUCAAAAAAUGGGAUUAUUAGGUUCACUUAGCUUAGGGACAUCUCUAGUAAGAUUUCUAUUUUCCAUGGUGAUUAAAGUCUAAUAGUUAAUGUGUCUUAACCUUUUGUACACUAACUUAAUUGAAUCUAACUGAGCAUUGUUUCAAUCUACCGAAGGACUAGAACUAAAUGGUACACUAAAUAUGUUGGAAUAGAGCCCUCAAAAGCAUGACAUGAUGUAACAGUUUUAGAUAAUUAAUUAAUUUAUUUAUCUACUUUCCUUUAUUAUCUUAUUUACAUUAAUUGGUUAUUUAAACAUACACGCUCAUAUCGUUUACAUUGUACGUGACUCAGAUGCAUUAGGAGUUGCAUAAACGAUAUAAGUCAUGGGUUCCUUACAAGAUAGUAAGUUAUUCACAAUCGAUUCAUGGAUUUAGGUAACUCAAUAGAGGCUAUAGUACACUAUCUCCUAAUUAGAGAGAUGACUUGUCUUAUCCAUUGGGAUGAGUUUCAAAUGGUGAAUGCACUAGUGCAUACGAUUACAUAAUGGAUAGGACCUAUGAUGAAUCAUGAUGUAAGGCUAUUGGUUGUCAUGAUUCACUGAGCUACUAUAUUACAUAGACUUUCAACUUUGAGAGGAUAUUGAGCUUGUGUCAAAAUCAAUAGAAGACUUUGACCUAUGAGUGAAACCCUAAUAUGGUCAUAUAUCCCUAUGGAUUGAGUCACUAUUGAUGGAGACUAGUGGCAAUAGAUAUUCUCAAUAGAGGUACUAUGACAUCUCUUGGGAUUGAGAUAGUAUGUCUUAUUUGAUGAUCUGAAGGACAUGUGAUCAAGAAGACCAUGAUCAUAUCAAUUCCUUUAGUGGAAUUUGACAUAUGCUCUUUAGAGUUUGAAUAUGUCAAUUGAUCGCAUAAUAAGUGGAUCUAUAACUCAAGGAUUGUAGAGCUAAUCUUGAUAGGUUGAUAGUACUACCUUGUUAGAUUAUGUGCAUUAGUUCAUAAAAAGUUUGCAUGCAGUGGAUAGUAGGUCACAGACCUGAGCUUCACCUUAUUGUAAUUUCAUAGGAUACUAGAGUGUAGUUGAAUUUUUUUAGUGGAAUGUUAAAUUGACUUUAAAAUUGUAUUCUAAGGGAGCGAGUAUUUUCUCAUAGGUCACAAUGGUCCUCGCUCAAGUUUCUCAUUCAUGGAGGCACAUUUUUAUUUAAGGGAUUUGGGUAAAAAUACAAGAUUGCACUAGAUAUUAUGAAUUAACUUUUUGGAUUGAUUAAUUAAUUAAUUAAUUGGAGCCCAAUAGAACUGAUUAAUUAAUUAGGACUCAUGCAUGUGGGUUGGAUUAGAUGAACCAAGCUUAAUUUGGGCUUAAAUCACUUAAACCUAUAGAAAGCCCUAUAUAAACCCCCUUAGAGGUUUAGGGUUAAAUAUUUUUGCCAUUUUGUCUUCUAGUAAGCCACUAGAUAGAAACCCUAGCCAUACUAUAAAGAAAAUCCUAUACUUUUCUCAUGCCUAAAUUUGUGUGAGAAGAGAUUUAGUGGAAGACCAAUAAGUAGAUGAGCUCUACAAUGCUUUCUAUGGUUUUAGAAUCUUCAUCAAUAUCUUCUACAAAUUAGAAUCAAUAUGAGAAAAUCCAUAUUGCAAGUAUGGUUUCUAUAUUCUUAAGAUCUAGGUCCUUUUAUGGUUUUUGAAUGCCAUGUUUCCACUAUGUUAGAUCUAGAGAGCCAAGGGUUAGAUUGCAUGCACCCUAUACAAUCCACAACUAAGGAAUGGAGUAAUUUGGGUGUCCCAGCAUUAUACUCAAUCUAGUAAGAAAACACUUCCCUCACUCAUCCUAGAUUUCGCAUUUGUCCUAGGAGAACAUUGCACUAAACAGUUAUCAUAAAUUUGGAUAAUAUUAAUCAAAUUAGCUUUUAGUCCAACAACAUACAUCAUUUCGUAGAGCCUAAGGCAUCCAAGUAACCAAAUAGACUUUUUUCCUUUUUACAUAGGUCAUCUCCAAAAUGCCUCCUUAGGAAUCAUUACAUCAUUUUUAUUAAGUACAUUGCAAUCUUUAAACUUUAUAAAUUUUAUCUUAUCAAACAAACUAAAUUUUUUAGAUUCCAUAGUGUGGACUCGCAUUUUUCACAUGCGUCCCCACUCGAUCGACGAGACUUGCUUUUUAUUUGUGAAAAAUUAAUUUUAGAAAAGUCAGAGUCGCCACUUACUUUAUUUUAUUUUAAAGGGAAAAUAAAACAAGAAAUAAAAACCUAAAAAAAAUGACUCCGUAGUUUUGGAAAAAAACAUGUUUUUUAAAAACCCAAGUUUAGGUCCGAUGAUCAAGUUACCUAUUGGGAAGCUACCUCUAAAAGGUAGCACUCCUCAAAGCCCUAUAAAGGUCUCUACUGACUAAGUUGAAGGAAACGUGGCAAUUAAUUGGUUAAUUAUAGAUACCUAAGUAGGCUAGGUGAUUUAAAAAAAUAGCAUGCCAAACGAGAUCAAAUCAAUCACAAUCAUAUAGAAGAUUUAGGGUGCAUACCUGAACCACUUCUUAAGCUCAAUCACAAAACAUCAAAGGUUAGUUUAGAUAGUAUAUCACCCAACAUGCACUUCAUCGUAAAUAAUCAAAUAAUAUAACAAUAUAUCAAGACAUCCAAGCACUAUCAAACAUAGACAUAAUUUACAAUGACAAUCAUAUUUAUAGAAUUCAAAAAGUGGGUGUUAGGGGGCAUACCCGGAUAGCAUAGACAACUCAUAAUAUGCUUCCUCAUGACAUGGGGGGUUAGAUAAUAAAUAAUAAAUAAUAAAAUAAGAAAUCCUAACAUGCUUAGUAUCUAAUUAGCAUAGCAAAAAUGAUCAGAAUAUACGAAAUAAUCAAUUAUCACACACAUCUUGUAUACAAUUCCUAAAAAAAAAAAAAGAUAGAUAUGAUUACAACAAAUGGCAAGGGUGGUAGCAAAAAAAGUUUUGAAAAGAUUUUUUUAUGUAGGGUUUCACCAAUUCCCCAAUUGAUAUACACAAAUUUAGCCCAAAAUUAGCCCAUUUAUUUGGGACCACAAGCUUUGAUUCGUGUUUUGUUCAAAACCAAAAUUUUCAUUAAAAACUAAGAAGGAUGCAAACCGAUCAAGACAUGGUUGCAUGCUAUUUAAGAAGACGAGAUUUUGAUUCUAAGAACUCUAGAUGAAUUUUUUUAAAAUAGAUUUCCAAAGAGAUCUUUUGAGAAAAAAGUGUUUUGUUUUUAAAAUAAAAGAAAUUAAUUUUUAAAAUAACAAAACAUAGAAAACAAAAUACCAACCAAAACAAAAGGAAAUGAAGAUCACAAAAUAAAGAUUUAGACAAUCAUGCCAAUCAAAGUGGUGAGAGUAGGGCCAACCUUCAUGGGUUUCCAGUGGCCUUACAAAAAAAAGGAUUUGGCCAACAAUCACUAAGGCAACAAACUAAUGACUUCCUAAUCAAACAAAUUAACAAAAAUAUUGUCCAAGACUAACAUCUGGAUUUCAAGAAACACAUGAUAAAAAAGAACAAUCAAGGAUUAAAGUCAACAAAUUAAGCAUAUGGAGAUAAUAAUAUGGGAUCAAUUAAGGUAAAUUAGUAUUCUAACAAAAUAUGAUAAAUCAAAAACCAAAAUUUAGCAAUCUUGAAAAUAUGAAAACAAUAACAUGCAAUUAACUAGAUUGACUAUCCAAAAUUCCUAAAACUCAUACUAAAUAUUAAUAGAUCAAAGCCAAAAUUACCAUACUUAAAACAUGAAAAUAAUAACACGUGGAAUUAACUAAAUUAAAUGACUGAAACUCUAAAAACACUAAAAAUGAAUAUUGAUGGAUCAAAUUGAAAUGGCCAUACAUAAGACAUGAAAAUAAUGAGGAAUCACUAAAUUAAUUAAUUAAAAUUAUGAUCAACUACAAAAUUGGAUGUAAAUGGAUUAAAAUCAAGAUUAAUGAAAAUCAUAAAUGCACAAACUCAUUCAAACUAAAAAUAAUAAUUAAUACUAGAUUAAAUUAGAAUUAAAAACAUCAACAUCAUCUAAAAGAUUGGCUAAACUAUCCAAUUGAAAUUGCAAAGACAUUUAAACUAGAACAAAUAAAUAAAUCAACAAGUUAAAACUAAACUAAAAUCGGAAUUAAAAAUAUGGAAUUCAUCUAAGGGGGUUAAUUAAAUAAUUGAAUUAAAAUCAUAAAUGCAUUCAAAUUAUAAAAUAUUAAAAUUAAACUAAAUUGAAAUUAAACUCUAUCCUAUGAGAUUAUUUAAACUGAUGAAUUAAAAUCAACAAAUGCAUUUAAGCUAAAAACAAGUUAAAAUCAAACUAACUGAAAAAAAAAAAAAAAACAUACUUUAUUUGACAUGAUUAUUUGAACUAAAGAAUUAGGAUCACUAGAUGCAUUUAAACUAAAAACAAAUUAAGAUCAAAUUAAUAGGAAUUAAAGACGCAAACUUUAUUCAAUAAAAUUAUUUAAACUAAGGAAUUAAGAUCAAUGAAUGCAUUUAAACUAAAAACGAAUUAAGAUCAAACUAAUCGGAAUUAAAAGCACAAACUUUAUUUGAUAAAAUUAUUUAAACUAAAGAAUUAAGAUCAACUAACACAUUCAAACUAAAAAUAAACAUAGAACUAAACUAAUCCGGAAUUAAAAACAUAAACUUUAUCUCACAAAAUUAUUUAAACUAAUAAAUUAACACCAUAAGUGCAUUUAAACUAAAAUCAAACUAAUCGGAAUUAAAAAUAAAUAAAUAAACUUUAUCUCACAAAAUUAUUUAAACUAAUAAAUUAACAUCAUAAGCGCAUUUAAACUAAAAUCAAACUAAUCAGAAUUAAAAAAAAAAAAAACUUUAUCUCACAAAGUUAUUUAAACUAAUAAAUUAACAUCAUAAGCGCAUUUAAACUAAAAUCAAACUAAUUGAAAUUUAAAAAAUAAACUAUAUCUCACAAAAUUAUUUAAACUAAUAAAUUAAAAUCACUAACAAACUUAAACUAAAAGGUGGAUUAGAACUAAACUAAUUGAGGAUUUAAGAAGAAAAUAAUAUAAACUUUAACACAAGGAAUUAAUCAAAAACUGAAAUUUCAAAAAAAUCUAAGCUAAAUAAAAAUACUAUAUAGAAAGCUAACCUGUGAAGUGAAAGAGAAAAUCCUCUCGUGAUGCGUCAAAAUAACAGCCCAUCCCCGCCCGAAAUCCUUUGUUCUCCUCCAAAAUCCCACGUACUUCUCUCUAGAAAAAUUGUUCUCAGUGUGUCGAUCUCCCUAAAAAAAUCUGUGCGCGUCCUCUCUAGAAGAAUUCUGCUUUAUGUCUUGAUCUCUCCACAAAAAAAAAAGUCCCUUGCGUGUUCUCUCUGACCCUUAUUUAUAUGGAAGUACCUUCCUUCUAUCGGAUAUUCUAUUUCCUUUUUUAAUGCACAUGGAUAUGGAAAGCGCAUACAUGGUGGCUCACUGGGAGAUUCCCUCAAGGAUGCAGCCGUGUCUUAUUUGGUAAGUGAUCAAAUCCUUACCAUGUUGACUUUUCUUUCUAGAAAAACAAAAAAGAAUCUCCUCACAGCCCACCAUAUGCGUGUUGUGCACAAAGUGGCCACUUCUUACCUAUUUUCAUGCUAUUUUCCUUUCUACUCAUCCAUCUGCACCGCAACGCUGCAUCCCAUUCCAUCUCACUCUGUAGUUGCAUGGCAAUCUUUGCAUACCAAAUUAUAUUUGAUUCUGAGGCAAACGCGCUGAGCAUUGCUUCCAGAACCGAUUGCUCCACCGCAGUCCAAUCCGUUGCGAUACCCAGAUUGUGUUUCUUCGCCAUCCUGUUGCAUGGGUGUCCCUAAUGCGAUACCGAAGAUGAAGCUUUUGGAGCAGGCGACCAUCUCCGUUUUGGUCAUUGAUGAAGUCCGGAGUCUUCUUUUUCUGAUACAAUCGAGGCAUGAAGUCCCCAUUCUUUCGUAGUUGAUGCACGUGGUGCUGAUGCUGCUGCGGAAUUGAGGAGUUGUCAUCCACCAGAUUGGGCCGUAGGCACAGCUUUGAGCUGCUUGGAUGGAGCUGCGUGCGUGUGAUUUUUUUGGCCCGUUCCUCUUCAUCCUGGGUGCGUGUUCCAGAUUUUCUGUAGGCGACCCCCCAUUGACCAUUCCUAAUGGCUUAUUUAUUGAACAAUUACCAUUUGCCACAGAAUUGUCUAUUAUUGUAUGAGGUAUAGUGCUUGUUGCUUAAAGGCUCCUGUGGACAAGUUAUUUUACUGUCAUCUGCAUAUUUCUUGAUCAAGUUACUCCCUGAAUAUGCAUUCUCUGGCAUGACUGAUGAUUGCACCCGGUUAGGAAACAAUCGAAUGGGAGAUAUGAGACUUUUUGAUGCAUGUUUGCUUUUUGCCUUUUCAUGAUGGGAAAGAGAAGUAUCAGAAUCAUUUUCAUUGUUUGAAGAAGCAUCCCGGAAACUCCCUUUCAAAAAGGAAGAAAUCGUAUCAUCUUCAUCCCCUUCAUUUAAUGAAGUUCCUAAUUCUGGGUCACCAAGGAGGCUCCUUGCUCUUAGCAAUGCAUCACUAGAAACUGAUAUCGACCUUCCACCUGCAGUAUGAAACUUGAUUGGUGGUGGAUUUUGUGCAGGACUAUACAUUUCAGACUGCUUAAGGUUGGGAGCAGCCUCAUUUGUUGAUUCUGUUCUCCAAGAAGUGCUAGUACUAAAAGGUCUUGGAACUGGUUUGGCAUUCUCACUUUUUAUACUGUUCAAAUCUUCUUGCAUCUCUAAAUGAGAUGAAUUUUGUCCACCAUCUAAGCCAUUCAUCACACUUUGCUUUGUGAUGUGUUCUUGACAAGAAUGGUGAUUAUUAUUUUCUUCUAACCCCAACAAACCUUCUACUGUAGCAUCUCUUAUAUAUAGAUCUAGCUUCAUUUAUCUGGCCUGCUUCAAGUUCCAUCACAUUAUAGCCUUCCCAGGCUCCGAACAUUGAACUACUGUUCCUAAGUAAGCUCUCCCAAACUCCACGAGCUGCAACUAGAUCUUUAUUCAGAUUUAGCUCUAAAGGAGCCCAAUAAGCAUGCAAUCGCACCAAAUCAUCUGUGCAAUGCAUACUGAAAAGCGUCCUCUAUCAAUGCAUAAUCUAAAACCUCUUCUUGCCGAGGUAUUGAAAUUCUUCUCCUCCAGAUCUGUCAGUCUCCACUUUCUAUAUAUAAAAAAUAAAAAUAAAAAUUCCUUUCCUUUUACCUUCAGUUGUGAUCUGCCUUCCUUUUUUAACAAUAUAAAUCUCCUUUACAUCCUCCAUUCAGCCGUGAUCUGCCUUCCUUUUUUAACAAUAUAAAUCUCCUUUCCAUCCUCCAUUCAGUCGUGAUCUCCUCUACUUGAUGGCUCCAAGUCUCAUACAAAAUUAAAAAUAAAGUGGAGAUAAAAAAUCAUAUAAUUGGAAAUUGAAUAAAAUAAAAUAGAAAAUCAAAUCACAUUGUCACGAAAAUCCAAUAUGUCAAUUCAUGGAAUUAAAGAAUGAAUGGAUAAGUGAGUAAAUAAAUAAAUAAAUUGAUAAGGGUAUAUAAAUAAAUAUUAGAUGUCUGCAAUUAGAAAAAAUCAAGAAAUUAUAUUAAUGCAACGGAUUAUAAUAAUUUAAAUGUCAAACUCAAACUCUCAAAAAUUUUAAAAAAUAAAAAAUUCAUUUCAUCAAUAAAUAGUCAAGUCAAUACUCAUCCUAUCUCAGAAAAGGAAGUAACCAAGAUCAAGAACACGCCUAAGUGGGCUAUGCCAAAAGAAGUGUCCAAGUGACCUAUUCUGAAAAGGUGCUUAAGUGACCUAAGGUGAAUGUGUGCAAGCUAGAAGGUGUCUAGGUGAAUCUAAGUAGGCUUGGGUGAACCUAGAUGAGCCUAAAAAUGCAUAAGUGACCUAGGGUGAUAUGAAAAGUCCCUAAGGUAAUAAAAAAGGUAUCUAAGUGAAUCUAGGUGAAGUGUAAUGUGCCUAAGUGGCCUAAAAUGAGUGAGUGUAGGCUAGAAGGUGCAUAGGAUGUUUAGGACGGUGUCUAAGUCUAGAUUAGGGUUGCCAAGGGUGCUUAAGUGGGCCUAAGGUGGUGUCUAAUAGGUUAAAGGUGGUGCCUAAUGGGCCAAGUGUACCUAAGUGGGCCUACGGUGAGACUAGGUGAGCCUAACUAGGUCUAGCCUAAAGUGCACCUAAGAACUAUCCUAAAAAGGAAGGAAAAAACCAAACUCUAAAUUAAGGUUGCCAAGAGCACAAAGGGGUUAGAUAAAUCCCUCAACCAAAGUCCCCAAGGUUGCUAAAAAAAAAAAGAUAAGUAGUAUGAGUAACUAUGAGCCAUCAAAGAACCAUUGUGGAACACUGGAAGUGAACUUAAAGACAUGUGCUAAAGGGACAAAAUUGAGGGUCUACACAUAGCCAUAACAUUGUUGCACAAACUAUUAUUUUUAUAAUUACAAGAAUCUAGAAUACCAUGCAUUUCAUGAAUUUUAACAUUCAAAAAUUCAAUAUUACAAAUUGUUUUUGUCAUUUUUUUAUUUUCACAUUUUCACAUUUCAUUUUGAAGCUUUCAUUCUAUAGAAAAUUAUAAGUAUCUUAUAAAUUUUUAGGUUCUUGCUCUUUAUUUUAUUCAAAGGAAUUUCCAUAUUCCUUACAAUAUUCUUUUUUUUUUUAAUUUCUAAUUUAGCUACUUUAAGAAAGACUAUAAAAACAACAAAAUUUGAGCUUUUAUUACUCUCACUAGAGUCAUUUGAUUUAUUCCCAUUAAACUUUGAAUCGCAUUAAGUCACUUCCAUUACUUUCUUGUUUCUUUUGGGAAUAGAGUAGUAAAAAAAAAGUGCCUUUUUGUACCAUCUUCAUAGAAAUUGGAUUAGGAUGAUGGUUUCUAUUUCCCUUUAUUCUUAGUGAUAUUUCCUUUCUUUUUCUUGAAGUUAAUUUUUUGUUAUAUUUCUUUUAAAGUUUCAUAGAAGAUUUAAAUUUCCUAAUAAACAUUGAUAUUUCGAUUUUAGUAAGGAUUUGCAUCUUUAAUCAUGAGCCUUUAUUUAUUUUAAUCUUCCAUAGAAGCUUUUAGACUGGACUCUUUUGACUUCUUUGAAGAUAGAAGGAUUUGACUAGCUCAUACACUCUCAAGGUAUUUACAUUCUUGUUUUUUUUUUCUUUAGUGAUAACCUCAAGCCUAAAUCUCAAAAGGAGAGAUCUCAAUAUUUUUCUUACUACCUUAGAUUCUAGGGUCCUUUUACCUAGAUUAAAGCUUGAAUAACUUAGUUUAAUGCAAAAUUUAGAGAAAUAUUCAUCUUUUUUCAUUCCCAUACUCUCAAAUUUGGAAUAUAUAUAUAUAUAUAUAUAUAUAUAUAUAUAUAUAUAUAUAUAUAUAUAUACUUCUCAAUAGAAAUACUGUUAUGAGUAACAACCAUGAUAUCCCAAACUUCUUACUAUAUUUACAAUUGUACUUUUCUUCUUCAAUCAUAACAACAACAUAUUCAAAUUUUACAUUAAAUAUCACAUAACUUUCUUUACCAUUCUUUGAUCAUCACACUUCUAACAUAUGGUUUCUGUAGGACCUCAGGCGCUACCAACUCUCCUAAAAGCAAUUGCUUGUAGGAAAGGCGCAUACCNNNNNNNNNNNNNNNNNNNNNNNNNNNNNNNNNNNNNNNNNNNNNNNNNNNNNNNNNNNNNNNNNNNNNNNNNNNNNNNNNNNNNNNNNNNNNNNNNNNNUUUGGGGAAAGGGCCCUUCCCUAACCUUUUUGGGCCUUCCCCCAAGGCCCCCCGGGGAACCAAAGGGGGGUUGGGGGGGGGGGCCCACCCUCCGAUUUCCCAAAAAUUUCCCCCCCCCCCCCCCCCCCCCCCCAGCAACACCCCUGGGGUUCGAACCCGUAACCUCAGCUCUGAUACCACUUGUAGGACCUGCUUUUAGGAGAGUUGGUAGCGCCUGAGGUCUUACAAUUGGUAUCAGAGCUUGGGUUGAAGAUUUCUGGAAGAGUAAAAGAUCACAAAGCACACAAGAUGAAAACAAAGGAAUUUUCACUGAAGGUGGAGUCGAUUGCUCUUUCGUGGUGAUAUGAUACAAAAAGGUUUGUGUCAUAGAGAGAUUGAAGAUUAACUUCAUGUAAUUUGGUCCAAGGUGGAGAUUGUUGGGAAGUGUCCCAAAUUCCUAAUUAGUAUAGAUUCCUUUUUGUAAAGAAUAUUGUAUAGAAUAUUUCUAGGUUGAUAUAUUAUUGUAAUAUUAGACUUCCUUAUAGAAUAAGGAAGGUUGUUGGAAAUAUCUCUAUAAAUAUUCUAGGUCAUGAGGGGAAAAAGUUAUGAGAUGGAGAUGGGCCUAUAGAGACUAUACGAGGUGGCUAGAGAUGUGAGGAAGAACGGGAGGUACCUGGUGGAGCGAGAGAGCUCGUAGUAAGGUAUGGAUACAAGGAGUGGGGAAACAUGGGAUGUUUCGGGAACCCAAUAAUUGUAUCUGGUUCUAUCCUCUGUAAUAUUCUCUAUUGUAUAGUGGAAUUAUUCUCUCUCAUCCGUGGACGUAGGCAUGGUUGGCCGAACCACGUUAAAACCUCGUGUACCGUAUGUGUGAUUGUUUUAUCUUUGUGUUCUUGAACUAACAUUGUUGGAAUCAAAGCUUUCGCUGGCGCUACAGUUUCCAAUUAUUUACACCUUAUCAAAAUAAUUUGAGAUUGAUUUCGAGUCAUUCAUGUGGAUAUACUCAAAUUUACUUAUUCCUAUUUGCAACUUCAUUCUUUUGAUGUGAUCAUCAACUUUGUAUAAUUUUUUAUUUUUUUUUAGUACCGUACGUGUUUUUUUUUUUUUUUUUUUGUUUACUAUUAAGCCCUUUAUUAGUAGGGUUGUUGGGAAUCAAUCCCUCCUUGAAAGCAAACCACUAAUACUCAAUGGCUAGAUUGAAACCUAUGGAAUUACCCUAGCAUUGAUUUAAGGAUCCUCUUGACCCAAAUGAUCAAACAAAAAAUAAAACCUCUAAUUCCAAUCAUUGGAGAUAUUAAUGGAAAAUGAAUCAAUAACUGUAUUCCGGAUAAAUGGUUGACUUACAAUAAAAUGACAUUAGAACUAAGAGAAUUGGGUAGCUAUUAUGCUAUCAAUUAGAUCACUAACCCUUGUUAGUUGUUGGUUAGGUUCUGGUGUUCCUCUAUUGCUUUGAAUAUUGCAUAGGGUGUUUUUUUUUAUCUUUCUUUAGAGAAUCUUCAAAUAAAUAUUUAUGCUCAUUUGAUGGUGUUUUCAUAUUAGCAAACAUUGUUGUAGUUAUUAUUAGGUUGUAUAAAUUUUAAGAUAUAAAUAAUACAUACAUCUUAAUACAUCAAUUGUCGAAAUUCUUAUAAGUAAAAUUGGGAAUUGAAAUUGAAUUUAGUUAUUAUUUGCAUCCAUAAUUUAACUAAUAAAAAUUGUAGAUUUCUUGAUAUUCUAGCAACUCCUUAGUAUUAUAGCUUUGAUCUUCUAGUACAUUUUUUUAUUUUAUGACUUUAAUAUCACAUGUUUGAGGAUCGUUUCGGCGCCGUUUUGGAGCCGUUGAUAACGCCGCAGUCGGGGACCUUAGGAUCGUUUGGGGUUGUAGUAAAUAAAUAAAUAAAUAAAAUAAUACCACCCAACCCUAUCUGCAAUGUGGCACUAAUAGAAUCAACCCCCUGGUCCCACAUAUAUUAUAUAUAUAUUCAACCGAAUAUAUAUAUAUAUAUAUAUAUAUAUAUAUAUAUAUAUAUAUAUAUAUAUAUAUAUAUAUACCUACCACAUUGGACCUCUUUAUUGUGCUUACAAUACAAAUUUGAAAACCUUGCACACGUGUCGUAGCUUGGUGGCUAGUCCAAUAUUGGAAAUAGAACAAAUGGACAUGCUAUAAUAAUAAUAAUUUUAAAAAAAAGGGCCACUGUGGGGCUUGAACCCACGCGAGCCCAAGAUUGAGAGCCUUGCACUCAACCAACUGAGCUACGAGAUCCUUUUGUUUGUUUAUGAUUUUAUACCAAUGAAAUUAUGAUUUUGAUAUAGGAAUUUACCAUUUCUUGUUACAUUUAUGUUUAAUAUUUUUAAAAUAAAUAAGUUAUGUAUAUUUGUUGUCAAAGUAACUUAUAUUAUAUAAUUUUAUUUAUUUUUGAAAUAUUUAACAUAUUAUUAUUGUAUAAAAUAAUCGGACCAAAGGAAGAUUAUUUUAGUAUAAUAAUAAAUAAAGUAUUCAUAAAUAUAUGACAAAUAAAGUUUACCUUACUUGCUGUAUGUCAGUCUAAAGACAAGCAUAUUGCUUCGGUUAUGUUGUCAAUAUUUAUGAAUUAAUUUUGUAAAAGGAUAUCAAUUACAAGUUGAUAUUUUUUGUCCAAAGACUAAAUAUUAAUGUUUGUGCUAGGUAGCUUGUAAUAGGCUCACAUGCAUAUAUAUAUAUAUACGUUAAAUUUUUAUUUAUUCAUAUAUGUGUGAUAUUUUUGUGACUGAUUGUGAACUUUAUUGUUAUGAAUUCAACAUUUUCUAUAUCUGCUAAUGUGAAUAAUAUUCCUAUGCUUGGCACAAACUUCAAGAAAUGGAAAGAGCACGUUAUAAUUGUGCUCGGAUGCAUGGAUUUGGACUAUGCAUUGAGAGAGGAUCACCCUCCAGACCUUAUUAGUGCCAGCACUGCUGAGCAAAGGGCUGCUAUGGAAAAAUGGGAGCGGUCCAAUCGCAUGAGUCUAAUAAUAAUGAAGCACUCAAUUCCAAAAGCUAUAAGGGGUGUAAUACUUGAGGAAACUCGAGCCAAGACAUUCUUGGACUAGAUAGCAAACCGAUUCGCUACAAACGAAAAUGUUGAGACAAACACUAUUCUUAGUAAGCUUGUCUCCAUGAGGUACAAAUGAAAAGAGAAUAUAAGGGAGUACAUAAUGGAAAUGUUCAAUCUUGUGACUAGAAUCAAGGCACUAAAGUUAGAGUUGUCACAAGACAUACUCGUGCACUUGGUCUUGAUCUCUCUGCCUACACAAUUUAGUCCAUUCAAGAUCAGUUACAAUACACAAAAGAAAAAAUGGACUCUGAAUGAGCUUAUUGCUUAGUGUGUACAAGAGGAGGAGAGAUUGAAACAAGAGAAGAUAGAAAGUGCUCACUUGGCUUCCACAUCUCAAGGAUUUAGUACCAACAAGAAAAGAAAGAGGGACAAUAAAGGAAAACAAACUGCAUUUUUUGGGACAUCAAAGCAAAAGGUGCAGAAGAAACAAGAUAAGAAGAUCACUUGUUUCUUUUGCAAGAAGGUUGGUCAUAUGAAGAAGACAUGUACCAAAUACGUUGCUUUGCAUAAAAAGAAAUGUACACUUCUCAACCUUGUUUGUUCAUAAAUUAAUUUAGCUAAAGUACCUAUUAACACUUGGUAAAUAGAUACGGGUGCAACUACUCACUUAAGUGUCACAAUGCAGGAUUGCCUAAGGAGUCGAAUGCCAACUAAUGGUGAAAGAUACAUCUAUGUGGGAAAUGGAAACAAGGUUGCAAUGAAGGCUAUUGGUAUUUUUAGGUUACAAUUAGACUCUGGAUGUACUUUGGAUUUGGAAGAGACUUUUGUAGUACCAUCGUCUAGACAGAAUUUAAUUUAUGUUUCAUGUCUGGACAAAUGUGGAUAUUAUUGUUCCUUUAGAAAUGGAAUGGUUAGUCUUUAUUUAAAUUCAAAUAUUAUUGGUACAGGUAGUCUAACAGACAAAUUAUACAAAUUGAACAUAAAGGCCUCUAAUGGAAAUGAAACCUUGCAUUCAAGUAAUUAUGGUAUUAAGCGAAAAUUAAUAAAUGAGAAUUCAUCAAUGCUAUGGUACAGACAUUUGGGUCAUAUUUCAAAUCAACGUAUUCAAAGACUUAUGUCAGAAGGAAUUCUUGAUUCACUUGAUUUCUCAGACUUUCAAGUCUGCAUAGAGUGUAUUAAGGGUAAACAACCAAAUAUGAGGAAAAAUGACACCAAUAGGUCCAGUGAUGUCUUGGAAUUGAUACAUACGGACAUUUCUGGUCCAUUUCCUACCCCUUCUUAGAAUGGACAACAAUAUUUUAUCACUUUCAUUGACGAUUACUCAUGCUAUGACUAUCUUUAUUUGAUUCAUGAGAAGUCUUAGUCAUUGGAUGUGUUCAAGAAUUUUAAGGCUGAAGUUGAGAAUCGACUAAGCUAGAAAAUAAAGACCGUUAGAUCUUACCGUGGAGGUGAAUAUUAGAGUAGAUAUGACGAAUCUGGUGAACAACGUCCAGGGCCAUUCGCCAAAUAUUUGAUGGAGUGUAGUAUCAUUCCUCAGUACACCAUGUUGGGGACUCCAAGCCAAAAUGGUGUAGCAAAAAGGCAAAAUUGUACUCUUAAGGAUAUGGUAAGAAGUAUGAUCAAUCAUUUCACCUUACUAGAAUCACUUUGGGGCGAAGCUGUCAAAACUACAGUUUACAUUUUGAACAGAGUCCCAAGCAAAGCAGUAGCCAAAACCCCAUAUGAGUUAUGGACUAGCAAGAAACCUAGUAUUAGGUAUUUACAUGUCUGGGGUUGUCCAGUUGAGGCUAGGCCUUACAAACCAAAUGAAAAGAAAUUGGACUCCAGAACAAUGAGCUGCUACUUUGUAGGGUAUUCUGAAAGGUCGAGAGGUUUCAAGUUUUAUGACCCCUCAUCUAGAUCCUUCUUUGAAACGGGUAAUGCUAAGUUUAUUGAGGAUGUUGAGUUAAGUGGGAGAGAGCCAUUAAGAAAGGUGGUCUUUGAAGAGGAAUCUAUUAGUAUUCCUAUUAUUACAACUAGACAUGGUCAUAUUAUGUUUGAUGACACUAUCCAAAAUAUACAACUAAUAACAAAGAUUGAAGACACACCUGAGAUUCUUCCUACGCAAGUUAUAGAACCAGUUCAAGUUCAUGAAGAGGUAACUCAACAACCUCAAGAACCUCAAGUAUAAGUGCCACUAAGAAGAUCCACUAGAGAAAUGAGAAGUAUAAUUUCAGAUGAUUAUGUUGUAUAUCUCUAGGAACAUGAGUUUGACAUGGGUUUGGAAAACAAUCUAAUUUCAAUUAGUGAAGUCAAAUAAAGUUCUGACUCUGAAAAGUGGAUAGAACCAUGAAGGAUGAGAUGAAAUUAAUGAAAGACAAUGGUGUUUGGGACCUAGUAGAGUUGCCUGAAAGUGUAAAACAGAUUGGUUGUAAAUGGAUUUUUAAGACCAAGCGGGAUUCAAAAGGCAACAUUGUUAAGUAUAAGGCACACCUAGUUGCAAAAGGUUUCACUCAAAAGAAAGACAUUGAUUAUAAGGAGACCUUUUCGUCGAUUUCGUCAAAUGACUCCUUUAGAAUUAUCAUGGCACUUGUGGCUCCUAAUGAUUUAGGGCUGCAUCAAAUGGACAUUAAAACUAAGUUUCCUAAUGGUAACAUUGAUGAGACAAUAUACAUGGUGAAACUGGAGAACUUUGAGUCUAAUGAUUCAAAACAACUUGUAUGCAAAUUAAAAAUGUCCAUAUAUGGUUUAAAGCAGACAUCUCGACAAUGGUACCAAAAGUUUGAUCAAGUGAUUACUUCAUUUGGUUUUAAGGAGAACACCGUUGAUCAAUGCAUACAUCUCAAGUUCAAUAGGAGCAAAUUCAUUAUCUUGGUGCUAUAUCUAGAUGAUAUUCUACUUGCCAGUAGUGAUAUAGAACUCUUGCAUGAAACCAAGCGAUUUCUAUCUAAUAAAUUUGACAUGAAGGAUCUUGGUAAUGCAUCUUUUGUGCUGGGUAUACAAAACUAUAGGGAUCAUUCAAGAGGUAUACUUGGGCUAUCACAAAAGUCCUACAUCGAUAAGGUGUUAAGUAGGUUUGGCAUGAGCAAUUGUGCACCAAGAGACACGCUUGUGGCAAAAGGUGAUAAAUUUAGUUUGCACCAAUGUUCGAAAAAUGAACUUGAGAAGAAGGAUAUGGAGAGGUUUCCCUAUGCCUCGAUAGUAGGAAGACUCAUGUAUGCACAAGUUUGUAAGCGUCCGAAUAUUACAUACAUUGUUGGAAUAUUAGGUAGAUAUUUGAGUAACCUAGGUAUGGAUCACUGGAAAAAGACAAAACGGGUUAAGCGGUAUUUACAAAGAACUAAAUAUUAUAUUCUCACAUAUCGUAGAUCGAGUCAUUUAGAGAUCGUGGGAUAUUCGAACUCUGAUUUCGCGGGAUGUCUUAAUAGUAGGAGAUCCACUUCAGGCUACAUCUUCAUGUUGGCUGGAGGAGCAAUUUCAUGGAAAAGUGUUAAACAAACACUUAUUGCCUCUUCCACCAUGGAGGCAAAAUUAAUAGCUUGCUACGAGGCAUCAAAACAUGGGAUAUGGCUGCAGAAUUUUAUCACUCAGUUGCGAAUCGUUGAUGGGAUUGAGAAACCAUUGAGAAUCAACUGUGAUAAUAAGGCCGCAGAAUUAUAUUCUAAGAACAACCGAAGUUUGUCAAAGUCCAAACACAUUGACAUCAAGUUCUUGGUUGUGAAAGAAAGAGUUCAGAGUCUUCAAGUAUCAAUUGAACACAUAAGCACAAACUCUAUGAUUGCGGAUCCACUCACUAAGGGUUUGCCACCCAAAGUAUAUCAUGAGUAUGUCACACAUAUGGGUGUUGUAAAUAUUAAUGAUGUACUAGUAUAGGGAGAGUUUGCAUUUAGAUUUUGAGUAUUGUUAUAUUUGCGUUAUCUGUACAGACCUUGGUUUUAAAGACUAUUGUGUUUAAAUACUCUGAAUUGAAAUGAUGACUUUCAGAAGUAGUUUAGCAUCAAGUGUUGAAAGUGCAAUUUGACUAUUUUUUUAGUCAUAAAGUAGGACCAAUUGGAAAUAGACAUAUUAAAUAUCACAUUCUAUGUAAUUUCCAUGCUACACAUCCAUACUUGAUCCAUGUUGCUAAUUUUGUUAAUGUUGUGAUCAUUGAUGGGUCUAGUUAUAAUUAUGAUUAACAAAGGUUGCUUUAAUCCUAUGUUAGCAUAAUUAGUAGACCGGAUUGUUUAAGGAUAUUUAUAUAUAAUAGUUAAGAUGAGCUCAAUAAAGUACUAUCAUGAACAUUGUUCUGUAAUAUAUGUGGUCCAAGUGGGAGAUUGUUAAAAUAACUAUGAACUCACAUAUGGAGCAUAGUUUAUGAUUAGGCUAUUCACAUUCACGUAUUUAUUUUUUUAUUUUUUGUUCUAAGGUAUGGGCCACCUCAUGUGUAGAGCCCAAUACCAUAUGUGUCUUAGAUGAUGGGCCUAAGACACAUAUGGCCAAAUAUUUAAAGGGAAUGGUCCCUAAGGCAUAGAGGAUAUAUAAGGCAAGUGUCUGCUCAUUUUUUAAUAUAUUUUAGAAUAGAACAAAACGUGCUCUCUCCCGGUUCCCAUCAUCAGAGAGAUUACAAAAGGGUGGUUUCCCUGCUAUAGCCUUUGAAGAUCCAUACCUCAUUCAACAAACGACAAUGGACUUAGGUUUGUUUUCUUUCUAUAAUAAACGUCUGGUAUAAUUUCUUCACAUGAUUAAACAUACGAUUCUUGUCUGAUGUUAUUGGAUUUACAAUGGAGUUCCUUCACCAAGUGCAAUUGUAAAGGUUGGGCUAAUAACAGGUGAUAUGCAGGUGUUACUAAAAGUAAUUAUUAAAGGUUCUCACUUUGUCAAUACACUGAUAGAAUUGGUGGGAACCCCACUUUCUCUCGUAGCAGUUUAAAGACUUUUCCUAUCCAUAUUAGUAAAAUGAUAUGUAUGUGCUAUGCACGUGACUAAAAAUAAUAAUAUAGAGAGAAAAAUAAUAUAUAAUAAUAAUAGACAAUAAAUUAUUUAAUUUAAAAAAAAAAAUUUAAUAAUACUAAAAUAAUUUGUAAGAGUGAUUAAUAUGUGAUAUCAUAGGAGAGAGUUUUUAACGCUAUAUACAUAUAGGUUCCUUAAUUAUGUAGGCGCAUUUUAAAGUUGUGAGGGCUCUUGGAUUCAAAGCAGACAACAUCAACAUAGUUGGAUAUGAGUUAUUACAAAUUUUAUCAGAAUCGAUCUCUGACUCUGGUAUGAGGGUUUGUUUGGCCCUAUGAGGGGUGCCUAUUUGUUUGGCCCAACAAUUUCGUAGGAUACAACGAAGACGUUGUAUUUACAUGAGAAGUGUUUGUGAUAUCCCACAUCGGAUAUGAGAUAAAGUUCUUAAUACUAUAUAAAUACAAGUUUCUUAAUUAUAUAGACGUGUUUUAAAACCAUAAGAACUCUUUUGAAUUCAGAGUAAACAAUAUCUACAUAAUUGAGUAUGGGUAUUUAUAAAUAAUACUAAAGUCAAUCUCUGACCCUGGUAUGGGGGUUUGUUUGGUCCCAUAAGGGCGUUUGUUUGUUUGAAUCCUAUGGGAAACAACGAAAAUGGUGUAUCUGUAUGAGGGGUGAUUAUAAUAUCCCACAUUAGAAAAGGAAGAAAGUUUAUGACACUAUAUAAAUAUAAGUUCCUUAAUUAUAUAGAUGGGUUUUAAAACUCUUAAUUAUGUAAACGUGUUUUAGACGUGUUCUAAAGCAUCAUAUGCGUGGUUACAUAGUAUGUAAUUAUAUAUUAUUUAAAAUUCCUUAUAUAAAGAAUAAUAUAUUAAAUAAAUAUAGAAAAUAAUAAUAAAUAAAAAUUAUUUAAAACUCUUCAUAAAAAGAAUUUAAAGAAAUAUGAAAAAAUAAGUAUUAGAAUAAUAUGAUAGUUUGUUUAAUUUAAGUUGAUAAUUUUAUUUCAUUUAUCCUAAUAAAAUAUUUUUCAUAUUUAUCAUGUUUUAUAAAUGAAAUAAUGUGAAUUUUAUGUCACUUUUAAUUAAGCAUAAUAUUUUUUAUUUUUAUAAUAAAAACAAAAAUCAUUUGGAGUGCUCAAGCUCUCGAACCCUAGCGACCAAGCACUACUUUGCAAUAAGAUUUUUCGUGUCAUGAAGUAUGACAUGAUGCGUCACCAGACUCACCACCAUCCACAUACCAUGGUUGAUCGUCAAUGAUAGUAGGUGGUACGUCGGAAGAUUAGGUAAGACUUCGAGUGUGAGAGUUGUCCUUAACGUAGACUUGCACUCUCUCCACACAAUUGUUUUUGACGUUUUCCAAAAUCAGUCCUUUGUAAGCUGGACCACGUAAAUGUAAAUUCUUUAAUUAAAAAUGGACUUGGGAUAAUAAGGGAUAUUGUGAUUUGGUAAAGCCACCAAGUCGAUCCACAGAAAUUUUUGUGUACCUAUAGAACUCACAAAGCCUAGCAAAAGGUCAACAUCUUUAUCAAUGUAUCAUACGGAAAUACUAGUGAGAACUUUUUUGAUGUUGUUUUGAGAAGAGGUUUGAACGCCAAAUUGAAAUAGACUAUUUUGUAAUUUACCCCCAAUGAAUAUGAGGUAAUAUGAUAAAAUUUAAAUUUAUUUUUAACAUCAAUAGUUGAGAAAGAAGCACAAAAUUAAACUAAGGAAAUUGAAUUAAACUAACAUUAAUUUUCGAUAAUUAAUAUAUUAUGAUGUCAUAAAAAUUUAUUAUAUUAAAUUAAUAAAAUAAUUUUGAAUAAUGAAACUCAAAAUGAUUAAUUAAAGUUACAAAUAAUAAAUUUGCAAAUUGAAGCUUAUUUUUUAUUAUUAUUAUUAUUAUUGUUGUUGUUGUUGUUAUUGUUGUUGCCUCAAAUCAUUAUAUACAUCACCCAUGCAACUCACGGGCCACAAACACAAUCUGCCUCAAAUCAUUAUAUACAUCACCCAUGCAACUCACGGGCCAGAAACACAAUCCUCAGUCACAGCAAUGGGGCAGCACCACUUCCUCAUUAUAUCACAUCCACUGCAAGGCCACAUCAACCCAGCCCUCCAAUUAGCCAAGCGCCUGAUCAGAACCGGCGCCCACGUCACAUUCGCCGUCUCCGUCUCCGCCCAUCGCCGAAUGCCCAAAGAUCCGACCCUCCCCGGUUUAACCCUAGUCCCCUUCUCCGAUGGCUAUGAUGAUGGGUUAAAGUACUCCAAUGAUCAUGCCCAGCACUAUAUGUCCGAGAUCAAG
This 61713-nucleotide long non-coding RNA is filed under the name Vitis vinifera (wine grape). RNAcentral describes it as "long non-coding RNA (VVIN_LNC001547)". The record is from RNAcentral. Lineage: Eukaryota; Viridiplantae; Streptophyta; Magnoliopsida; Vitales; Vitaceae.